This 83021-nucleotide long non-coding RNA is filed under the name Coffea arabica (coffee). Its description in RNAcentral is "long non-coding RNA (CARA_LNC004140)". The record is from RNAcentral. Lineage: Eukaryota; Viridiplantae; Streptophyta; Magnoliopsida; Gentianales; Rubiaceae.
UUUUUUCUUUUUUUUUUUUCUGUUGCCUAUAUGCCUACAACAACUACUGCUCAGAUCCUUCCCAAGUUGACUAUCCUUUGCAUAUCCUUUUGGGUGUCGAAUUUGGUGCUUCAAUUCAAAAUGGUCCUUUUUAUCAUGAGCUGAAAGUUUUAUUUUCUUUCUUAGCUCUAAAGAAGUAUUUAACGUGAAUUUCUGCUUCGAUCUCCAAUCAGAAAUGCUUUUUUGGUAAAAAAAAAAAAAAAAAAAACUGUUAAAAUUUAUGUGUAAUGUAGCAAUCGAGUACUUUGGAUGCAUCCCUCUCUUUUGGGAUUUAAAGUCAAUUAUUUCAAAAUUAACUACCAAAUAUACUUCUACUUUGGGCUGCAAACGAAUCGAGCCGCUCGCGAGCCGCUCGAGUCAAGCUCGAGUCGAGCUCGACAUUAAUCGAGCUCGAGUCAAACUCGAGCUCGAACUCGAGUUCAGAAUAUUAAACUCGUUAGCUCGCGAGCCGGCUCGCGAGUUUGAGUAUAUAUAUAUAUAUUUUUUAUUUUUAUUUAAUAAUAAAAUUACUUAUAUUAUAUAUAUUUUUUUUUAUUUUUUAUUUUCAUAGUGAAAUUACGGAUAUAUCCUUAAUAUUUUAUUAUUUAUUCAGAAAAAAAAAUUAUUUUAUUUAUUUUUUUUAAAAAUAAAAUAAUUUUUUUUAUUUUUUUCGAGCUCGGCUCGACUUGAUUCGAGUCGAGCUCGAGCUCGAAAAUUGCCAGCUCGUCGAGCUCGAGCUCGAGCUCGAGCUUGAUAAAAUUUAGCCAAGGCUCGGCUCGAUUAGCUUAAAGCUCGACUCGGCUCGAUUCGUUUGCAGCCUACUUCUACUACACUAUGGUUUGAACCUAUUAAAAUAUAAAUGCAAAAAGAUGACAUUAUUGGGACGGGUACAAUGUGAUUUAAAAGUUAAAACUAUUCAAGCUAAAACAAGUUGGGGUUAUCUACAUAUUAGCUUUUAUCUUUUUUACUUUUUCAUACUUUUAAUUUUCAAUAACUUCGUUACGCUAUUUUAUUUUAUUAUUAUUAUUAUUUUUUGUCGACACAGGGGUGUCCGGAUCAAUCCUUACGAGACCCGACUAAUCCCCUGCGGUCCGGGUCCGACGCCUCAACCCGGUCCGAACACGUUAAAUGCGCGGAGGAAUCCAGCGGAGCGGAGACUCGAACUUGUGACCUCAAGAUUCACUGGUGAGAGGCACUGCCGCUGGACCAUUCACACGGGACCAUUACGCUAUUUUAUUACUUUAUAAAAUUCCAUCAAUUCAACCGGUGACUUACUAAACAUGUCAGGCCUCGUGUCCAGAUCAGGGGCCUCUCCAAAACUAAACAUGUAAAUCCAAUCUACAAAACAAUUAUUAAAUUGCAAUGAUUGAAAUGCACAAGAAAGAUAUGAUCUAAAAGAAUCAAAAUCCAAUGCUUACUGAUUUUCAGCUACAUAUCUUUAUGGGAAAAGACUCAGAGAGCUGGCGUCCGUACAUUUCUGGACCAAUCUUUCAUGGGACAGUAAGGACGGUCCCAUUUACAGAAUAAAGGGAUAAUUUUGGAAACCUCCCCUAGGGUUUUUUAUAGUCUCACUGCCUUCCCCUGAAAUUUUCACAAUAUGGGAAACCUCCCCAAAAACUAAUUAGCUAGUAACAAAUCAGCCCAAUUUAAAUACAAAAAUAAUAUAAAAUUGGUGUUACGAGAGAGAGAAAAUAAUUUAAUUUCAUAACUACCCUCAAGUUUUGCAUUAGAUAGUUAAUUUACUAAGAACAAAAUACAUCUAUUUUAACUUUAUCAAAUGUGAGACGAUGCAACUGUUACCGCGUUCAUAAAACGUAAACAAAAAUCAGCUUUUUAACUCUACAACAAAUUUAACAACUCAAAGUCAGCGACCAAAAUGUGACAUUUAAGAAAAUUCAAUGGCUAGAAAAGUAACUUCGCCAAAAUCAAAUCAAGACAACGUCGUUUAACUUGGGCCCUGCUUUCCCUAACCAAACGCUGUCGUUUUAGCACUGCAGCUUUUCAUCAACGAACCAGGCAAGACCUCGAACUGAUCACCUGAAUUUGCAGCGGCAAAAUUUAACAAAAGAAUGGUGUUGAAUCUGUAACUUCCCCACCGACUACUGAACUCUCCAUUUCAGUUUUCCCUCCCGAAAUCAAAACCCAGAAAGGAAUUUUCAGACCAUUCAAAUCCCGUACAACCGCUGCAAAUUGAGUGAUCAGAUUCCAUGUUAACGCCGCCGUUUUCGAGUCUCGGCGAAUCAUAACAGGGUCAGCGGCGGGUUAAUCAGCAGAUAGAUUCCUGGUAAACCCUUUUAUCUUUUGAAAGAAUUUGAUCCUGAUUGGCCGUUUUGCUGUUCUUAUCUCUCGCGUUUUUGUGAAACUUUUAGUGGGAUGUGUUUUUUCUGGUUUCACAUUUUAGUGUAAAACUAGGAGAUGGAUUAGGGUGCCCAAUUAUGCCCAGUUAAUUUCUAAUUAUUUUUGUAAUCUUGAUGGAUGUUAAAUGAUAAACUACAGAUUUAGGAUUGCAUGAUUGGAAUGUAUAUAAUUGAUCAAAAACUGUGUCAUAAAGAACAAAAGAGGUGAAAAUUGUAAUACAAUAUGCCUUUCAGAAAGGUAAGAAACCACAACUACAUAAUUAGUAUCUAUCCAACUGGCCAAUAGUCACAUUGUGCUGUAGUGUUCUCAGUAUCCUCAUCAGUAUUUAAAAACUAGUCUCAUAAAUGAAAUGCAAAGAUGCUAUUAUUAAAAAAAUAUCCAUUAACCAAAAAAAUGGAAAUUAGCUUCAUACAAUUCCACAUUAAAUGGAGCUAUUAAAAUUACUUAAAUCUUAAUCCAAAUGCUAGAAUAGCACUCCAAUCAUAAUACUGCAAGAUACAAUAAAAGGACUUCAUCAAUGUUCUUGCCACUUAUACUAUACAUGGGCAAUGGAGCUUGAGUGAAGAGGUGUAUCAUGCUUCACCUAAGAGGUCAUGCCAACUUCAGUCCUCUCUUUUGUCCCAAAUUCAGAAACUAACCAAUAACUAUAAAAAUGAUGAAAAAAGAUUAAUUCUAUAUCAUUUUGUCAAAAUUAACUAUUCUCGGCUUCUCAUAUUCUGCAUUCAAAAACAAGUACCUUAUUAAUUACAAAGUCGCAAUAAUUUAUGCAAGUCCUUAAAGAAGCAAAUAAAAUACAAUCAAGAUCAAAACUCCAUUACUUUUGAAGUUCCAGUAUCCGCGUUCUACAUGACUCAGGAAAAGGCUGCUAAAUUUUAAUUAAGGCAUAAAAAGGACACAUGAGCAACCAUCAUAGUUAAAUCAUACUCUUAACAGGCAGAAAAAUCACAUGGUAUUCUAGCGUGUAAAUCACAUAGAUAGACCAUAUCCUGUUUUAAGCCAAACUUUGACCAUUCCACCAUGCUGAAAAAUGCCAAAAAUAAUUGAUAGGGGUCACAAUUAUAUAGUACUCGGUAAGAAUUCAACUAAGUAGAUAAAAGAAAUCUCUGAUACGAAUCAAUAUACCACAAGUGAAUGAUAGGACAUUAAUUUACCUAAAACAAAACUUUCUCUUCUCUUUCUUAGGAAGCUCAUUGACAUCAUAUUCAACUUGUUUAGACAUAAUUCAUAAUCAAAAUAUGAGCCUUAGUAGCAAAAACCAUGACAGAGCGGCAAAAAUAAGAUCUAAUAUUCAGAGAACAAACAAAAAUAACUUCAAAACAGAUGAAGCCAACUUCAGUUAUAAAAUUUCUUAAUAUUCUUUUUGAAGAUGAGCCUUUUUCCUGACCUUUUUCAACUAAGAAAGUAAUCACUAAAUUUAAUGAUACGAAUACAAAACUUUAAAUAAGAAAUUAGCCCUAACAAAAGAAAAAUGAUAACCUGAAAGACAGCAGAGAAUAUUCUUAGCAUUUCCUCUGCUUUGUGGACCGAGAAGCUAUUUCUCUUUAAUCCUGAAAUGUUGAGAGAACAGUAGUGUGUUAGGAAAAAGAUCAGAUGACAGAUAGAUGGAUUUCGUGAUCUGAAAUCUAUUUCUGGUUUUUCUGGUUUCUCAAUUCUCUUUGCACUUGCAAAAUCACAAAAUUACAGAUCACAUGACUGUACUGGAAAAAAAAUGUGGUAGAUAGAAGUAAUACCUAGAGAAUUCUAAGAGCUAGAGGCUUUAACUUCCACUUGUUUUUCCUAUCAUUUUCCUGGGCCAAAGAACUAAAGCUAGAACAUCAAGGAAUUUGAUCUCAAUAAACGGAGAUUUUGAGUUGGUUAUCCUACAGAUUGCCUUUUGUGAGUCAAUAGUUGCACAUACACGUGCAUAGAACAAUCCAAAAGAACAAAAAAAGUCCCAUUAGAUCAGCUUUAAAGAGUUCACAAUUUAAAAAGGAAAAAAAUCUCUAAAAGAGAAAAACUCGACUUCUUUCUAGGAAUUCAAGUUAUAUGGUGGAGAUGAAGAUCUAGCCAAGGAAAAUGACUUCUAGAAUACUGAUAGUGAGUUUCACAUCAGAUAGUGAGGAUGAGAUACCAACCUUCAUCUUCCUUGCAUGAAGGAGAGGGAAAGGAUUUGAUGCUUUUUAGCCAAGGCAAUAUCAGGAAAAAAAUGGCAGAUAAACAGAAGAUAUCAGCCAUUACUACCUGAGGGAGGAAGAGAAGAGGGAGAUGAAAAAGAAGACAAUGAGGAAAUGGGAGAAGCUGAUAAUUGGGAGAUGAGGAAAAAAUCAGCAUCAAAAUUAGGUGGUCAAAGGAAAAUUGCAAAAGAAAUUAGCAUCUAGAAGAGAGUUGUCCAAUAUCAACAUUAGCAAGAAUACCAGGUAACUUCGUUAACAGACUUAUCGAGUCCACCAACCUUGACUUUUUACAUUUGACAUUGGUUUGCUGAUCAUGAUCAAUUGAGGCAAACAAUCAGACACCUCAUAUACUUUAAAACUCUACUACUUCAACUAGCAACAAAUAUUUUUAAGCCAAACAUCGAACAAAUUAACUAAUAGCAUGCUAAACAUCUUAGCAAAGUAUAUAUCACUUUGUAGGCAUAAAUCAAACAUGAUGUAGUAGAUGGCAUGCUAAACAUCUAUCCAAAGCAAACAUGACAUUCGAGGAUUAAAUCAAAUGUUAUUGAUCCAGAACAAAGCAAAAAGGCCCCAGGAUGGAAUUUCUCUCACUUAAGCUAUAAAAAGUCGUCCAGACAUUAUGAAAUAGCUUGCUGCAACAAGACAGAAAAUUAUAAAGUUAUGAGUAACUAACUAAAAGAAUUUACCAGCUGUUUGGUUGCUGCUGAGGAAUGGCAAUGAGAAUCACUAUGAAAGACCCCCUCAGUGGCAACGAGUUUCUGAAAAUUCUUUGUAAUGAAAUCUGGUGUUUGGAAGUGCCAUUGUGUAAUGGGAAUGAUAUAUUUUAAAAAUAAAAAAAAAAUCCGUUAAAUUUCUUCAAUUUCCUUUCCUUUUCUUCCUUGCUGUUCAUCUUCUUCCCAAUUCGCAGCCACCUCCCACCGCAACCUCUUUUCUUUAUUAUUUGUUCUUAUGUUGCUUGCUCUUUGAUUUUGAGACACUGCCAAACCACCUCCCUUGGCCACUUUAGUUUUGUUUCCUGCUUCCAUUUUGUAAAGACCCACUGCUAGCACAAUUCCAUUUUUUUUCUUUUGUAAUUCUUCUCCAUCUUUUGACAACUGCCAAACUGCGUGUCGCUGCCAAACGCUUUCAGUGCUACUGCAUUGGGAUGUAAACUGAAGAUAUAAUAUACAAGACAGUAAUCCUUAAUCAAUGGUGUGAGGGAAAGGGAGGGAACAAAGGUUGCAGAGAUGGAGUAGAAAGGGAAGGCAAGAGGCGGCAAUAUGGAGGGUGGUGGGAGAGAGGAAAGGAAGAGAGGUUACAGGGAUGGAGUAGAAGGGGAAGAGGAGAUGCAUUCUCCUUCUUUUUACUUUUUCUUCAACUUUAAUUUUGAUUAUUUUUAUUUUGUUCUAAAAGGUGGAGGAAUGAGAAGUGAAAGUGCCCAAAUUGGUAUUUGAAGACCUAAAAGUGGGUAAUCAAAAAAGUCAUAGUAGUCUACCAAGCACCAUCAGUGGGAGUGAUUACCCUCUUAUUCCCAUUGAGGGGUACAAAACCUCCCAACCAAACGGGUGGUUAGUAGAAACAGUCAAUCCACAUCCUUUUAUUCUAAGUUUCCCACCUAGAUAGAGUUGCUAAAAAUAUCAACUGGAGAAUUAAACUUUGAGAGCACAGGGAAAAAAAAGAUAAGACCAUUUCUAAUGAAAUUAUCAUAAUUUUCAAUGCAAAAGAGUGGAAACAUAAAAUAAUGGACCUCAAGGAUCAUCACUGGAUAGAGACCUUAGAACCUCCUCUUAUUCAUGACUUCACUGAAAUUUUAGGGAACAAUUCAACAUGCAGCACAAGUUUCUCUUUGAUAACCGUAUACUGUCAGGAAAACAAAAAAAAAAAAAAGAAGAAAGAAAUAGACAAGGUAACCAUAUAAUAGGCAAAAUUACAUAAUAAAAAAGAAUAACAAAAUACCUGAGAAAAAUAACAUAUCUUCAGUCAUUUAUCCUCCAUUUCUUGAAGACCUAAUAAUAGUGGUAAAGAGAUUAAACAAACAGCUGUUGAUAACAAAUCUCUCAAAGCAAAAACAGCUGCAGAACACAGAAAAUUUGAAACAUAAGCCAGUGCACAUACCCACAAGGCUCAAUGAAGAAAAUGUUCCAUCUUUUUUUCUUUCUUACUUUAUCUGACAUAUACCUUGAAUCAGAAAAUUUUGACCAAAUCAGAUUUGUUAGAAAGACUUUAAAAAACACUCCGAGGAAAAAAAACCUGAGGUUAACUCAUUUUUGGACCUAAAAAAUUGAAAAAAGAAACACAGAAGCCUAACAAGUCUUCACCUUGAGACAAGAAUCUCUACAAUUCUUCAUCCUUGAUGGUAGUCUUGAUCUCUCAACCUGUAGCAAAAGUAUGGAGCUUGUUAGAGAAUAAAAGAAAAUUUAAUCAAGGGGGAAAAAAGGAUACACAAUAUUAAAAUGGAGGAAGCAGUGGACUUGAGAGACAAACAAAAAAUAAAUAAGAGAGAGAUGGAGAGAAGAAUAUUGACUUAUGCUGAACACAAGAAAAGGGAAGAAGAGCAGAGGAAGAAUAUUGAUUGAUCGAGUAAAGGAAAAAGGGAAAAGAAGAGGAGAGGAGAACGUCUGGAGUGGGUAGAUCUCACAACGGAUCUUCUGUCCCACACCCUGUGCCACUCUCUGUCCCACUUUUUAUUAUAUUGCUAUUUCUCUUACAUAAAUAUCAUGUUUUAGUUCUUUUUUGUUUCUUUAAGAUCCAAUAACUAUUAACUAAAUAAUACAAAAAAUUUAACAAAAUCAAAAAGCAUAAAAAUGAGAUUUUUUAUGAAUUUUCUGCUGUAUUUUUAAUUUUCUAUUACAUAUUACUUUUUUGAAGCUGUUGUAUUUAUUUUUUAGUCAAUUGAUAGUUAUUGGAUCUUAAGGAAACAAAAAAGAACUAAAACAUGAAGUUUAUGUAGGAGAAAUAGCAAUAUAACAAAAAAUGGGACAGUGAGUGGUACAGGAUGUAGGACAGAAGAUCUGUUGCGGGUAGAUCUAGGGCAGUUCCUGGUUUCCAGUGAAGACCUUGAGCCCAACGCUGUCCCAAAUGGGAAAAAAACAUGUCACAUGCCGGACACGUGUGAGGAUGACCAAACUUGCCACCAAUCUCCUUUUGCCACGUCACUAAGAAGCCAAUCCCCUUGUGCCACAUGGGCGGCCGACCAUUCAUACAUGGUAGGGGAGAUGUUCAUGCUUAUACGAUAUGGUUGAUAAUGUAUUGGGCAAGUGUGUGCUAGCAUAGUUGACAAGAUGAUUAAAUUAGAGAAAUUCAUUAUGUAACUCAGGCAUUAUCUUGUUGAAACCAUGUUUAAUGACUAGGUUGUCAUAUGAGCUGUUUUUUUUAUUUUUCUUUUUUUGGAUUUUCCAUUCCAUAUUGUUUACAUGUAUAGUAGGUGAUAGACGAACUAAUCUACUCGAUACUUGUGCAGUAUUGCUCAAGAGGUGGUGUUCAGUUGUCAUUGGUUCGUCAACUAAUGCAACCAUAAUUUUCUAUUUAAUUAUGUUUUCAAAAUUAGUUGAGCCCGGCUGCAUAAGCAUGAAACUUGAAAUUUACAUGUGUAUAAACCAAGCUAUUCAACAUCAGUUUGAGCAUGGCUUAGUAAUACUGGGUUGUUUUAGCUCAGCUCAAGUUAAGAUCAAAGCAAGAUCUUUUCAAAGAAAAAAAAUCAUACCAAGCUUGAAAAUUGUAUUGUUUGACUAGAUUAGGUUUGUUGAAACCCCUAGUUGAAAUGUAUGUUCUUUAGUAGAUUAGUUUUUUUUUUUGGAAUACAAUCAGUUAUAAGCAUGUUCAGUACCAUGAAUUUGUUGUUCUAUUUAUUUCUUUUCAGUGUUUUUCUUUGUGUGAAUGCAGAAAUGGGAGACAAAGAAGACCAGCUUGAUAUGACGCAAAAGGGUUUCAUACCCUAUUAUGGACAAUUGUUUGAUUCAGACGACAAAGCUUACAAAUUCUACAACAUGUAUGCAGCAACCAUUGGAUUUGGUGUUCGAAAAGAAUAUUGUAACAAAGAUAAAUUGGGAAUAGUAACUUCAAGGAAGUUUGCAUGUAAUAAAGAAGGAUUCCGGCGUCAGGAUAAAAGGGAUAGGGAAACAAAGAGACCUCGUGCAGAAACUAAGACAGGAUGUCUUGCUUGUGUCAUUAUACUACUUGACAGGGACACAAAAAAGUAUAAGGUGACACAAUUUGUGGCAGAGCACAAUCAUCCAUUGCAUAUUCCACAAUGCGUACACUUGAUCCCCUCACAGAGAAGGACAACAAUUACACAGGAUAAUUCUGAAUUGGUUGAUGCAUAUGGGUUAUCAUUGAAGCAGUCCAAUAACCUUGUAGAUAAGUUGGGGUAUCUUCCAAACAAGCGCUCUAGAGGCUUAAGGUUUGGGGAAGCUGGAACCAUUUUCAGAUAUUUUCAACAGCAACUUCUGGAAAACCCAUCAUUUUACUUUGCUGUACAAUUGGAUAGUGAGGAACAAUUAACUAAUGUCUUUUGGGCUGAUGCAAGGAUGACUAUAGACUACAAAUAUUUUGGAGAGGUGGUUACUUUUGAUACGACAUUUAGAAAAAACGAGGAAUAUCGUCCCUUGGGCAUUUUUCUGGGAUUUAAUCAUCACCGCCAGAUGGUAAUAUUUGGUGCUGCACUAUUAUAUGAUGACAGUGUUGACUCCUACAAAUGGUUGUUCCAAACCUUUCUAGAAGCCAUGUCUGGUAAGCCACCGAGAACAUUCUUCACGGAUCAAGAACCAGCCAUGGCAAAAGCUUCAGCUUCAGUGAUGCCAAACACCUUCCAUGGGUUGUGCACGCAUCAUAUUCGUCAAAAUUUCCUGAAACACCUUGGCCACAUGAUGAGGACUGAAACGGGUCUGGUACAAUUGUUUAGCAAGUGUAUGCUUGAAAUUGAAGAUGAAGUAGCAUUUGAGGAAACUUGGAGAGAGAUGCUUCAGAAACAUAACCUGGAUUCUAAUACAUGGCUUAAGAGUAUUUAUGAGCUGAGAGAAAAAUGGGCAAAGACAUACAUGAAGACAAAGCUCACAUUAGGCAUGCGAAGCAAGCAACUCAGCAAAAGCUUCAAUGCAGACCUCAAGCAUCAUUUAAAGACCGAUCAAGAUUUGGUGGAAUUCUUUACCGAGUUUCAUAGGGCUGUUGAGAAAAGAAGAUACAAAGAAUUGACUGCUGAAUAUGGGGCAAGGCAAAAGGUACCAAGUUUGAAGAUAAAGUACUCACCCAUGCUUAAUCAGGUUGCAGAGAUAUAUACUCCUACUAUAUUUGAGGAGUUCCAAGAUGAGUUUGACGUAUCUCUUGCCUUGGUAGUGAAGGGUCAUACAGUAAAUGAUAAUGUGCAUGAGUAUAUGUUGGCACGCUAUGAUGGAGGAGAUGAUCAGAGAGUCAUUUGUGAGAAAUCUACUCAAUCAGUCUUGUGUAGUUGUCAGAAGUAUGAAUGUGAAGGAAUUUUGUGCUCCCAUGCAAUCAAAGUACUAGAUUUACUUAACAUAAAGUUAGUGCCUAAUGAUUUAAUAGAAAAGAGAUGGACAAGAGAUGCAAAAAAAGGAAUUUUGAAAGGACCUAACCAGGAGAAUGAUAUGGAGGAGGAUGUCCAUUUGAAAGUUGUAGGGCGGUAUAGAAUGCUGUGUUCAACUUUAGUUAGGGUUGCUAUUAGGGCUGCAGAAUGUCAAGAAGCUACAGACUACCUUGUGCAAUGUGUGGAUAAGUUGACAAGAAAAGUUGAAGAAAUAUGUAAUAAGCAGAUGUCAAUUGAACAAGCUAGCACAAAUCACCAGUCAUCUUAUAAUGCAACAGACCAAGAAGAUGUUUUGGUAAUUUCCAUGGGUGUAAACCCAUCAGGCUCAAAAAGUGGACAGGGCUGCAAGUCCAAUAAACGGACAGGAAGCUGGACUGACAUGUUCGGUGAAAAGAGUAUGUAUGAGUCAAAUAACAACCAAGUUCAGGUAGUUGUAACUAGUACCUAUUAUCUUUUCAAGUUUGUUUAGUGGUAGACUUCAUGUGCAGCAUUUGAGAUUGAUCACACUUCCUUUUUUGAUAGAUUGCUGAUCAAAGCCAAGAAGUUUCAGUUGACCAUGUGUCUUCUCCUCAAUCAGCUAAUAACUCUGUUUCAGUAAGUGAUAUAGAAAAUACUUUUAUUAAAUGAACAACAUUUCCUUCAUGGUUGUUAGCUAAAUAAGAACUGUUGGUUCUGUUAUGUGAUGCUCAGGCUAGGUCUUGCUCCCAAUCUACUGGUGACCUUUUGCAUUUACAUCAAGCUACUUCGUAUCCGUCCCAGGUAAACACUGAUCAUUGAGCAAUUAAAUUGGCAGUUUACCACUCUCUCAAAUUACGCCUGCUCUAUAAUGCAAAAAAUUGCUUCUAAAUGUCUGAGAAUGGUAGGUUGGUGCUGAAAAACUGGAGGCACUUUUGCCCAUACUAAUACUUUUUGAAUGAUUCAGGAUAGCAAUAGCAAUUCCCUAAUUGGUCAAUCUUCUGUGGAAGUGGUCCAACGUGCGAACAAUGUAUGUUUGUUUAUAUAAUAAGGAUUUGUAUUUUUGGAGACACUAUAUGGCACCAAAUUUUGUGAUGAUAUCUGUGACAUUGUUAACGGGUCUGUUUUGUGCCACAUAAGGGUGCUGUAUUGGAAAAUAGGAACUUCUUAAUGAACUUCAAUGGGCUUGGUACUGCAAUGUCUCCCACUGGAACUCAGUUUCUGAUGGUAAAGCAAUCCAUAUUCUAUUAUCACCAUACGUAUCUGCAGAGUUUGUACUUGUGUGAUUAAUUUUUAAUUCCUUUUAUAUUGGGGUGCUUUUGCUGGUGCACAGCCACAUUGGGCUGCUAAUCAGAGCUGAGAAAUCAACUAUCAGUUGUCAUCAACAUACCUGCUUGUGAGGGGUUUGCAAGAUAAUCUAUUUUAUGUAAAGUUCCUAGGUUAUAUGAUGUAUUUUUGUGGCUAAUGCAAAUUGUAAUGGAGUACUAAGCUCUUCUUUAUGGAAUAUAAUAUCUUUUUGAAGCUUUUGACUUUGUUGGCUGGUGUUUGUUUUACAAGGUUUAGAACUGUAUUGAUAUAUGAUAAUGUCUACCUCAGGACAAAAUAUUUGUUGAGGCGAUUAGGUGUUGUAGUUGUAACAAGAAAGUACAAGGGUAUAAAUGAAAAAUGUCAAUUGAGCAUAUGAUCGGAAGUAACUUGUUACACACCUAAGCUGAUUACUAGAUUUGAUUGAUCUUCCUUCCUUACCAUAUGAUUACCCUACUAGUAGUGUUACUUUUGUGCAAUUACCCAAAUACAGAUUUUCCUUUCUUUGUUCUCGUGCUAUUUCACAGUGAAUAAAUUGGUAAAGAAUAUCUCAGCAAAUGAGUACAGCUGUCAUUUGGACUGUAAAAAAAGUCUAUUUUGUUGCAAUUCCACUGACUAUGAUUGCUUCCUGUCAGUCAUUUACGCUUCAUUUGCUGUCUCACAUGCUGCUGCAUUUUAACCCUUGGGUUAAAGUGAUUAAGCCUAACCACUCUGGCAAUAAAAUACACGUAGUAGACUCUGUACAGUUUCAUAUAAGAUAUAAAUGUAUGCCAUGCCGAUAACUUGAUGUAACAUGCAGCACUCCUUUUGAUAUUUUCUGCUCGUUUCCUGUAUCUUAAGAGGGGUCUUUUUACGUAUAAAUAGUUCUUAGGGAUUCCUAUUGGCUGCAUGAUUCCACGUGUUAUCAAUUUCUUUUACCUGGGCUUUUGGAGUAAUAAUUGAUUUCUGAUUUUGAAGUUAAGUCUCACAAGAUGAUAUGAGAAUUUCACAGCCAAAUCCGCUAAAAAUGAUUUCUCAAAUAGAGCUGUUCUUGAUACCCCCUUAACUUUUGGUGGUAAAGCCCUAGAACAUGUCUCAUUUCAUCAUCAGCAACGUUGAAGAAGGCAGCAACUCCUUGUCUUUUCUGAACAUCAAUCACUAGUAAGUUUAAGUUUUUGAGUUUAUAACUGUUUAUUGACCACUUGAUUUUCAAAGGGAAUGCUAAUGUUUAAUUGUAUUUUUUCAGUUUAUGAAUUUUGUUCAGAAUGUUGUUAUUGUUAAAACUAUUCUUUUGUAUGGUGAAGUUGCUUCAUUGAACUUAAUUUUGUAUAGAUUUGGUGAAAAUGUAUGAACUUAUUCUACACACAGGAUUUCCUGGAGAAUUGAAUGUAAUAAUAUUUACGUGAUCAUAAGGUUUCUGACCUUUUUUGUUCUUUCUUGGUCUUCUGCUACUGUUUUAUCUUGGAGAGGUGAAGUAGAGUUGCUUGUGGGAUUCUCUUAGAUAAGCUUGGUGUGACGAUAGAGUUGGAUCCAACAAUUUUCAUGCCAUUUGUGAUGGACAAUGUGAUUACUGAUAAGUCCCAUUCUUUUUUGCCCAAGCUAGCUUCUUGCCCUUUUGUUCAUUAAUGCUGACAUUUGGAAGAGCUCCUCAAAAGGGGAGUUAGCAUUAUUGCUCAACAUGAGAAACUUGUUUGUGUGCAUUGUCUUUGUGGUCAGUUCAGUACUCUUGUAACUUUCUACAUUUUUGACAGAAUUGUUUGAAGCUCAUUGUUGAAUAGCUAAACUAUAGUUAGAAAGUUUAUUUGACUUGAAUGUACAAAAUUUGAACUUAAUUCUUGAAACUCUUGUUAUGGAUUAAAGGCAAUACAGAGCUAUACACCCCGAGUGCUGAAAAUCCACAAUUUGAGAAGUUUCGCAUGUUGUGAUUUUCGCUGAAUUUUCCCAUAAAUUUAUUUUAUUUUAUUUUAAGAAUCAAAAUAUUGCCUCAUUCUUCUGCUGGAAAAUUUGUGAAAUAUGUAGAAAGGAUAGACCUUGCGAAUCUUUUGCAAAGAUGAGGUGAUAAUUGUUUUUCCCACCUGAUUGUACUGUUAGGAAGGAAAGGUUUAUUCUAACGUGGUUUAUUGUUGAGUUUGUAACUUUUCGAUCUUUAGCUUUGUCCUGGGCAUGUUUUUUCACGCUCAGUUGUUGGGAACAACUUCAUAUUAAUUCAGAUGCCUAUUCUAAUGCUCUCAUUGUUGCUACUCUUGUUUCACUUACCUUCGUACUAGGUAUCUCCAAGUGGGUUCUUGGAGCAGCAUUCUCUCUUUUCUUCUACAAGGUUUUCCUUGAUGUUCAUGCUUGAGUUUGAGUAUGGUCUAAUAUUUCCAUGUGCUGAUGACUAACUUUUUCAUGAAUUUGUUGCCCUAUAUUCAUCCAUAAAUGAGGAGCAAAGAGCUUGUGAAUCCUUAAAUCUUGGACAAAGAAAUGCCACCUGCUGUUUUUGGGAAGAAUCUUUCAAGUUUUGCUGGCACUGUUCUUGUGAGGUAAAGAUUGUUGGGAGUUUGCUGACAUGUAAAGAAUAUGAGAUACAUUUGCUUUUGACACCUUAGAUUUUGGCUUCGUCUUGAUGUCUCCAAUAUUUAGAACGAAAACGUAUAACAACAUUUGUGGUAAAUUGGAGACUUUUCGCUGGCUAUAUCCUUUUGGAUUUGGUGUAAUUAGUUUUCUUCUGAGUUGCACAUUCAAUUCCCCAAAAAAAAAAGAAUUGUCUCCAUCUCUGUACCUUCAAGUAGAGAUGUCAAAAUGGGUGACUUGAGCGGGUUUGGGUUGGGUAAAAUGGGUAAUGGGUAUAAGUGAGUCAACUCAUUUAUACCCAUUUAAUUAGAUGGGUAUAAAUGGGUAAGUCAAAAAAUGAAUUAGGUAACCCAAUUACCCAUUUAUAACUCAUUUAUUUUAACUUUUUACAAACUCAUUUAAAUUCAUUUUUGCAAACUAAGUUAUCAAUUUAUACCACUCUUUGUACCCAUCAUUAGUUUUAAAUAUUUACUUAUAAUGUUCAAUAAAUUUAAUUACCAAUUUUUUUCAUUUAUACUCUAUGUCACAAAAUUACCUAUUAUUUAAUAAUUGAAUAAUACGAAUAUAAAAAUUUGAAUUAAGUACUAUAAAAAUUAAUAUAAAACUUAAUCCAAAAAUUUUGUACCUCUAACAUUUUUUCAUAUAUAAAUUUAAAAUUUCAUUUUAUAAAGAUAAGAAAAUAGGCUAAAAUUUAUCAUAAAUUGGUAAUGCUAAAAAAUGAGCAAGUUAACAAACUAAGAAAAAAUAAAAUAAUAAGAUAAAACCAACAAAUAAUAAUAAUAAUAAUAAUAAUAAUGUUAACAUCAUGACAAAAUGAAAAAUUUGAAAAAAAAAAAAAAGGUAGGGGAAAAGAAGAGACUUGGGGGGAAGAGAAUUUUAAAUGGGUUAAUUGGGUUUGAUGGGUUACCCAAUAAUACCCAUUUAAUAAAUUGGUAUUAUUGGGUAACCCAUUUAUAUCUAUAUACAAAAAUUUAAGAUAUUUAUACCCAUCUAUUCAUAGACGAGUAUGGAUAAAUCUAAUUAAGUGGGUUGAUUUGCCACCUCUACCUUCAAGAAUGACAUUUCUCAUCAAAAAGACGAGUGAGGUGGCAAGGAACGGGCACUUUGUUUCAGGUAAUAAUUGAACUAUUUUCCCCAUUACUUUAGCAUAAAUUAGAACAAAAAGACUAACAAUCUCCUAUAAAAUGUGCAUCUCCUGCGGCUGGUAGCUGGUUGGUGGCAUCUUCCAAUUGGCUCAGCAGGUCUUCCCGGAAAAAGUAGAUCCCAAUUCCCAACUGCCUAAGGACACUACAAUUACCUCAUGGGUGACAUCAAAGUGUAUCAUGUUCUGUUAAGAUUAUCCACAAUCGAAUGUAAUUCACAUGGUAUGGUAUGCCAGUAUUUCACUUUCUCUUCUUUUAUUAUAUUUCCACUCACAAUGGAUUAGACUCUAUAAGGUGUAAUAGUAUGGGUUCACAAUUAAAUCAAAUAUUUAUUUUAAUAAUACAUAAUUCAUAUCUCAUAAAUAAAUAAAAUAAUUUUUUAAAAAUAAUUUUGUUAUUUUUAAAAAAUAAAUUAUUAACUUUCAAAAAAAAUUUUACCUUUUGGAUUUUUUAUUCUCUAAAAAUAACAUUAUUAAUUUCUAAGUUUGAACAAUAUAUCUUUUUCUACCUCUCAAAAAUAAUAUAUUGUUAUUUUUUGAAAAAUAAUUAUGCAAUUAUUAAACAAAUAUGUGAUACCUCAAAUGUGAAGAUAUCAUAAUAAUCCAUACUUAAUUAAUAAUUCUUUAUAUAAUUAAUUGAACUCCAUAACAUAAUAUUACAUAAUUUAAAUCAAAUAAAAUACAAAUAAUAACAAAAUGAAUACUAGUUUUCACUGUUAUUGCCUUUGAAUCGUUCCCAAAUAUGCUCGACCAAGUCUGAUCGAAAUUUUGUCUGUUGUAGCUUCAAAAAAUUAGUCCGUUGCAACUUCAAAAAAAUUGGUCUGUUGUUAACAUUAGCAUUACACGGUUACAAUAAACUUGUGUCACGACAUGCAUUACACCACGCAUCAUUACCCUCGGAAUGAUGAUAUGUGUAAUUGCAUUACACAGCCAUUACACGCGUCAUUACCCGCGUCAUUACACGCUAUGUGUCAUAGCAUGCAUUACACGCGUCAUUACCCUCCCCUCCGUUGCUAAUUAAUAAAGGUCUUCACAUCAAUGAAGGUUCCGCGAAUUUGAUCUUACGUGUCUGGUCAACUUCCUUGUUUCCCAAGCACCUGGAAGUCCAAUGCAAUUUGGCCUUUUCUUUCAUGCCUUUUUGGAUCCAGGUUAACAUGAAAUCAAGAUUUGGUUGCAGACAUAUAAAUUGCAGUCCGAUCUCACCACUCAUUUAAUACGAGGCAAAAGAGAGAGUUAAAACACUCCGAAGAUAAAAUCAAGAACUCUGCAGGUACCAAGAAUCAGAGGAUUCAGUCAGCUUGAUAGAAAGAGAUGGCAGAUUUGUUCUUGAAUCAGGCUAAGCAGUACUCCGCCAGCAGGCCAAGAUACCCAGAUCAACUUUUUGAAUUCAUUGCAUCCAAAACCCCUUCCCAUGACCUUGUGUGGGAUGUGGGCACUGGCAGUGGCCAGGCUGCUGCUGCUGUAAGUCCCUCAACUUCUCUCUCCCUUCCAUUGGAAUGUUGACUAUGGAUGGUGUGCUUUACUGUUUGCUAGUUCGCACGUUGCAGGUCAGCUGGCGCAGACAUCUUUUAUUUUAUUCCUUUUUGAAUCUCUUUGAAUACGAUUUGGACUCAAAGGAAUGUAUAACAGAUUGAAGGCAUCUCAAGGGGAUAAAUUAACUUAAAAGACUUGUGAUUAUGCAAUUAUGAUUUGCUUGUCUCACAUUUUACAAUAAACAGUAUUAGCAGUAAUUGUUUUUUGUUACUGUCGGAUUUGGUGAUAACAUUUGAAUAAGCAUUGGUGACUUGGUCCUUGUUCCAAUAGUCCAACCCUACAAUUCAGGUCAAAUUGGCUAAUAAUAGUCCAAUUUACUUCUUUGCUUGUUUACUGGCUUGGUUAGCUGUUUGUUUAAGGUGACCAACUUACUUUUAAGUAGUAAAUUUUUGAAGCUGCACAAUAUUUACCAAGCAAUACCUUGGAGCUGAAUAUGGUUUAUCAGAAAGGGAUUGGACAAACUGAAUUGUAUUACUAACAUCGAAUGCCUGCCUAAAUUCAACUGGCAAGAUUGUCUUAUCAUCUUAUCCAUGCAAUUCAUUCUUGUCAGCUGGCAAAGAUCUACAAGAAUGUAAUUGCCACAGACACAAGCCCAAAGCAGCUGGAAUUUGCACCAAAGGUUCCGAAUAUUCGAUACCAAUGUACUUCCCCAAAGUUGUCCAUUGCAGAGCUUGAAGAAAACAUUGCAGCAGAGUCCACUGUCGAUUUAGUCACCAUUGCUCAGGCUUUGCAUUGGUUUGAUUUUCCUACCUUCUACCAACAAGUGAAGUGGGCACUGAAAAAACCCAAUGGAGUAAUUGCUGCAUGGUGCUACACUGUGCCAGAAAUUAACCCCAGUUUGGAUGCUGUCUUCCAAAGAUUCUACAAAGUUGAUUCUGAUCCUUACUGGGAACCAGAGCGUAAAUUGGUGGAUAAUAAAUAUGAAACCAUCGAUUUCCCAUUUGAGCCUGUGGAUGGCGUUGAUCAUACCGGACCAUUCCAAUUCAAAGCAGAGAAUGUGAUGGAUUUGGAAGGCUUCUUCACAUACAUAAGAUCAUGGUCUUCCUACCAAACUGCUAAACAGAAGGGUGUGGAACUCUUGAAUGAAAAUGUGGUCAAGGAUUUUACCUCUGCUUGGAAUGAAGAUGGAAUAUCUAAAAAAGUUGUCACUUCCCCUAUUCAUCUGAGGAUUGGGAAAGUUGGGAAUUUGCAUUGAAAUCUCUGCCUGUUCAAGUCAGCAAGCCCCUUAUGGCAAUCAUUUUCCACUGGUUGGUCUAUUAUUCUUGGAUAUAGGCCAUGGACCAUGGUUGAUGGCUCAAAGAUAAAUAAAUUUGCGUAUUUCAGCAUUGAAUCUCCUGUCACUUGAAACUGUUAUCUAAUUGUUACUAUUAGGUGAUGGCUAACAUCGGAUUUGGGGCUUCUUGUUCCCGUUUCUAAUGUCUUAUAGUAUUAUGUUUCCAAGUUGAGUGGAAGGCUAGAAAUGCUACCUACAGUCAGCCAAAAAAAAAAAUUUUUUUUUUAAAUGAUGUGGCAAAAACUAGAUUUAAGCUACCUAAACGUUAAAUGUGAUUCCAUUUUUCCUUUAAAGGCAAAUCUCGUUCACGGGUGGGAUGCCAAUCUAUAUUUUAUUAGUAAUAAAAUUAAUUAGUACAAGAAGGUGGGUUUAGGCAUUACCGUUAGCAGUACAUGAUAAGAAAAAAAAGAAUAUCAUAAGACACGAAUAUCAAAAGGAAGUGCUACUUCCAUAGUGCAAGAGGAAAUGUGAUUCCAUACAAAUUAAAACAGAAUGUAAUUAGCACAAAAUAAUAUUAUAAAAUUUGUAAAGUGUUAUUUGCAUAAUCUUGGGGACCAAUAGAAAGUGUAUCGACAAGUUUUUCCUUUUUUGAUCAGUCCUAGUUUGCAAAAAUUUAUUUGAUUAUAUCAUAAAUAUUUCAUCAACCAUUUAUUUAUAUUUUAAAUCACCUUUGUUAUCUCAUAUAUAUCAUAUUAAGACAGAAUGCAAUAUUAUUUUUUCAAAGAAUUAUCUCAAAUACUCAGUUUGAGCUCAACAAGUUUGGAUUCUCCAUUUUUUGAAAAACAAGCUUUUCAUUUACAAUAUUUCAAAAUAAUAUAUAAACAAAAACAAUUUCAAAAAUACCACAUCUAUACAAUAUACCAAAAAUAAUUCCAAAUAUACAAAAAAAAAAGAAAAAAAAAUCUACAUCAUCUUCUUCUUCCAACUAUCACCACUAUUGACCGCCACCACCAUCCUCUCCUUCCCUCUCUAUUCCCGCUCCCUCUUUCUCCUCCCCUUUCCCAUCACAUCCACCUCUCCCCCCCUCCGCCCCCCCCCCCCAAAAUCUUAUUGCGACUAGGUUCUGACCAGAGGCCUCCAUUUGGUCGAGACCAGAUCGAGGAGGGGGAGAGGAAGUGAUAGGUGCCGAACCUGUGUAAUAAUAAUAUUAAAACCUAACUAUCACUAAAAGCAGUGAAUAAUCAAUUCUAGGUACUGGAACAGGGACUCUAGGUGUGCAAUGAGUUACUUGAUUCACCCUAUUCCUGAAGAGUUUGCUUAAUCCGAUAUACCAGAAUUAAUUAGUUGACAAAAUUUAUUAACUAGUAGACAGUGGCAGGCAGGGUCAUCUCCUCAGGGAUUGGGGUAUUUGUCUCUUUGCGGUUCCAAUUGGUAAACGGGGGGUUUAUCGGAAUAAAGCUAAAAAAUAAUUAAGCAAUUCAACUAAAACGAAUAAUUAACUAGUACGAAGGUAAACAGGAAUUAAAUCAAGAAUAGAUAAAUUCUAACCAAGGAUACAACUACUCAGACACAGUCCAUUCAUCCGAUCAUUGAUGCAAGGGAGGUUCACUUUAUUUUAUUAAUAGGUUAGUUAUAGUCGCCAACGAGCUCUGACGACCAAUUUUUCCUUAAUUUAUUGAUAACCAAGGUACGACCAUUGAUUUUCCUAACCAGAAAAUACUCUUAAGUACGACCGUAGAAAUUAAUUCCCCAAUUAUAUUAAGAAUUAGAAAAAUCUAACCCCAAUCAAUAACAGUCGGCCCGCAUGAACAAGGAAGAAUAAUCAAAAAACUAUCUCUAAACAAUGACUAGUGCUCCCUACGUGUUUUUUGCCGAAUUGAGAGAAAGGGUACAAAAAGAGAGCCCUGCGAAUUCCACUUUUUUCGUUUCCUCUUUGAUAGGAAGACUCCUACUCAGCAACUCUUCAUCAGCCCAAGGGAAAGGAAGUCCGUUUCUUCUCCAUGUGGGCCAGGUUUGUGGAGCCUUUUGAAGCCUUCCACCUGUGGAAAAAUUUUCAAGAAAGUUUCCCUUUUUUUUUUUGCACCUUUCCGCUCCACUCCCUGAAAUUGAGUCCAAAUAUCAAAUAUAAGUAGAUAUUAAUGAUUAAAACAAUAUUUGACAAGGACAAAGGAAAAAAUUAACAAUAAAAUUACUAACAAUUAACACCUUAUCAAGAAGGGCGAGGUGCGGGAAAGGGGAAGGGGAGAAGGAAGGAGGAGGAGGAACAGGGAUGGGGAGAGGGGAAGAGAGAGGACGUGAUGGUACUGAAUAGUAGUUUUAAUUUUUUUUAAAUACUCUAAAAAUUUUAAAACUUUAAAAAUACUCCAAAAAAUAUUUUAAAAACACAUUCAAAAACAUCAUAAAAAACAUGUAUAGUAAAAGUUUUUCAUAUAUAUUUUUACACGUAAAUAGUUAAUCCAGAUGGAGCUACUAGAUAUUUUUAAAUGCACGUCACAUCAUAUGCACUUAGGCCUGUCAACGGGCCGAAAUUCAUUAUUCUGGACCCGGAUCCGACCCGUUUAUCCGACGGGUCUUUUACUCCAUGUUCCGGAUCCGGAUUCAACGGGUCUCAGAUCUGGGUCAGGUUUACCCGAAAAAAUUUACAAAACUUACAAUUUCUAAUAAAAAUGAGAAAAAAAUAUAUUUGAAAACUAAUUUCUAACUAGUACAAGACAAAAACCAAAUAAGAAAAGAAAUCAAAUUGACUUAACUCAAAUAUAUCACCCUAAUCAUAUUAUAUUGAUAAAUAUAUAUUUUAAAUUAUUAAUCCAUUUAUAUUCGAAUCCGGGUCUAAUAAGGGUUGGAAUACUAUAUUCUAUAUCCGACGCAUUUUUUGUUUGAUAAAACGGAUCCGGAUCCGGAUCCGGAUAAUGAAAUUAAAUCCCUACCCAUACUUAUAAUAAUUUCACGGAUAUGAUCCUGAUCCGGAUCUAAACCCGGACCGUUGACAGGCCUAUAUACACUCCCCGUCUCAAUGGCCAAACGUAUCUUUUGGUUUAUAUCUACCAGAGAGGCCGCACUUGACAAGUCUUUGUCUAACAGCACGUCGCAGUCCAUUUUUUCUUGUUUGUUGCUUUUCACAGGCUAUUGAAGUGAGGCCAAAACUCAAAAGUCCAACCAAUGACUUAUUCCUCAGGUUCAGAUCUCUGUACUCUUGCACAUUUGCAGGAUGGCGUACUGGGAAACAAUUUGAUCAACUUUUUUCCGUUUCAAUGCAAAUUGCUCAACCUUGUCCUUUUCUUCAUAUACUAAGGCUUCAUUUGGAUGGGGAGAAAAGGACAGAAAAGAAAAUAUAUGAGGGAAAGUCUUAUCAUUUCAUUUUGGGAGUUUUAACAAGGAUGGAAGAGAAGCGAAAUGAACAGAUAAAAGUCACUCUAAUUGGUGAAAAUUUUUCUACCCAAAAUUGGCAAGAAAAGGACGGAAACUUGUUGGGCACCAAAAAAUAUUUUUAAUAUGACAAUUUUAUCCUUUAAAAGUUGAUACAAAAAUUCAUUAUUUCCAAUAUAUCCUAAAGUUGAUUUGUAAAAACACCGAUGUGCAAAGCUUUCUCAAUCCUAUACUUUCAAUACUUCAAACUAGUUGAAUUCACUUGGCUUUCUUCCGUUCUUCACUCACAAUUCAAUAACAAAAGGUAUUUUUUUUUUACUCAAUCUCCUUUCUUUCUAUGCUCAAUCUUCUCUAGAGAAUUGUGGUAAAAGCAUCUUUUGUGUAGAUUGUUAUUGUUUAUAUUCUAAAUUUUUUAUUCAUUUUCAGUCAUAAAAUUCUUGUUAAUGAACUCUUGAUUUUUAUAUUAUUGAUUUGUGAUUAUAUAUUGCAUGGUUAUGGUACAUGUAAGCGUCAAUGGUGAUAAAUGAAUAUGAAAUUUGAAUGCAUACAAUCUGUUUGUUUAUUUGCCUAUGUAAGCUUCCAAUUGUAAAAUGAUCAUUCUAGAGUCCAUAAAUAGUAUGUUAGCCACUUUUUAUUGUAACAAUGCAUCUUUCUUUGAAAUGAUUAAAAAGAUGAUGAUACUAGAAGUAUUGUUUUUUUGAUGUCUUUUGUUGUUAAAAGUGUUCUAUAGUAUUUAAACUGAUCAGUACAUGAAGGUACCAAUGCUGAUAAUAACACGCAAAUGUAAAUGACAAGUACCAAUAACGAGCUGAAAUGCUGAAAUUUAACACUUGAGUAAAAAAGGGCAAAUAGUUCCAGUUGGAAAAAAAAAAAAGAAAAAAAAAGAACAAGCUAAUGCAAAGAAGGCAAGAAAUGGAUGUAAUCAGAAAGUUACAUGUCUUGAAAGCUGCUCAAAGCAUUUUCCCUCUCCCAUCUCCCCUCCCCCUCACAAGUAUGAAAAAAAAAGCACAAAAGCAUAUGAUAAAAGGAAAUUAAUUCAGGAAAGAAUUAGAGGAAAAAAAAUAAGGUGAGGAGUGAGUUUCAGCUUAGCAAAAACACUAGCUGAAACAUGUAUAAUGGCAUUUCCGGUCAACAUCAAAAUCAUAUGUCAAGAAUACCUAAAAGAUACUACGAGGACUUGAGGCGAUUUACAUGCAUGAAAGAAAAUCAAUGUCCAGCAAGAAAUUUGUUUUAUUAUUCACCUCGUGAGAAUGCAUAUGCAAUUGUUUUAGAAAUUUGUCUUACCUAAAUAUUCUAUUUAUUGGAACAUGAAAGCUAAUCUUUGGACUUUGAUUUAAAAAUUGAAAGGGCAAAUAAGUAAAGUUGUAUUCUCAUAAAAUCAUUUCUUUCCACAUUUCUUCAACUCUCAAAUAAGAGAAAGAUGUUUCUUUUCUUUUCUUUCAUUGAACUCCCAAACGAAAUAUGCAUAUUUUCCCUUCUUUUCCUUUCUUUCCUAAGUUAUCUUUUCUUUUCUUUUCUUUUCUCCUCCUUCAUAAACUCCCAAACUAAGCCUUAAUAAAAUCAUAGAUUAGAUUACUCUGGAUUCACUCAAGACCUUGAACAUUUUCAUUCCUAGAUUUACCUGGAUCCAAUAUUAAAAAGAAAAAAAAGUAAAAAAAAAAAAAAAAAACUAUUUCCCUUCCUGGAAAAAGCAGAAGAUAGUGAUCUUUGGAAUCGUUUAUCACUAAAGUUGGUCAUCACAUGCCAACUCAAAUUGGUUAUACCAUUCUGUCUUGUAAGUAUCUUCAAUUACAUUCCCUGUCUGCUGUCUCCUUUCGUUGUGGACAAAUGAAAGUUUAUUUGUUUAGGCCAAUCAAAGUCUCACAUCAAUGAAAGGUAGAUCAUCCGAAUUUAUCAUAUUAUUAUUGAAAGGAGCUGCUUGCAGGCAUAAAGUUCUCAACAUCUUUGGGAAAACAAAUUAAGUAGACCAAGUACCUCAAAGAACUAUAAAGUCACAUUCAGUCUCAUAGGCAGAUCAGAGAUGGCAGAAUUGUUUAAUAAGCAGGCUAAACAGUACUCGGAAAGCCGGCCAACUUACCCAGAGGAGCUGUUCCAGUUCAUUGCAUCCAAGACACCGUGCCAUGACCUCGCUUGGGAUGUAGGCACCGGCAGUGGCCAGGCUGCAAGAACUGUAGGCAUCUUUAAACCAGAGCCGACACUAAAUUUUUCUUUGGAACAGUUUUUGUUGAAUUGUGCUUUACUGAUUAAUCACUACUGACUUUUGUCAGUUGGCUGGGAUAUACAAGAACGUGGUAGCCACAGACACGAGCCCGAAGCAACUGGAAUUUGCACUCAAGCUUCCCAACAUUAGAUAUCAAUGUACGCCUCCUAAGAUGUCUAUUGCUGAGCUUGAGCAAAAUGUCUCGGUAGAAUCAAGUGUUGAUUUAGUGACAAGUGCUGCAGCUAUGCACUGGUUUGAUCUUCCAACUUUCUACCAGCAAGUGAAAUGGAUACUGAAAAAGCCUGAUGGAGUAAUUGCAGCAUGGUCCUACGCUAAGGCGGAGAUCAACGCUGCCAGUGCUAACACUCUUCUCCAAAUGCUAUACGAUAAUUGUGAUCCUUACUGUGAUCCACGAGCCAGAUAUUUCGUACAUGACAGGUAUAGAACCAUUGAUUUCCCAUUUCAGCCAGUUGAUGGGCUUGAGCACACUGGACCAUUUGAAUUCAAAACGGAACGCUUGAUGGAUUUAGAUGACUGCUUCACAUUCAUAAAGUCAUGGUCACCAUACCAAACUGCAAAAGAUGCAGGAGUUGAACUCUUGAGUGAUGAUGUGGUUCAGGACUUCACCCGUGCUUGGCAUGAAGAUGCCAAUCCCAAGAAAGUUGCUACUUUUCCUAUCAGCCUAAAGGUUGGAAAAGUUGGGAACUAGAACAAGUGAAGGCUUUGCAGGUUCGUUUGGAUGAAACUUCCCAUUUCCUACUGAUUGAGUUCUGUAUCAAACAUCAAUCCACUAGCUCAUAAUUACAUUAUGUAGGCUUAAUUCGCAAUAAUUAUUGUAAGAAGGUGAAUUUAUAGCCUCUUAAGCGACCUAUAUUCUUUGUCAAACAUUACAUAUAUUAAUUUGCUGGGAAACUUAUUAGAGCUGAAGUUAAUAAAAUAUGCAGCCGGAUGGAAGUCUCUGAACGAACGCUAGAAUCUUUAUGCUCAUGCUUUCCGGGAAGGCAGGUUGUUUUCCUCGCUCUCCUUAUGAAAGAUCUUCGCUUUAAUCUGCUGAGAUGAAAACUUCCGUUCCUUGUCUCACUUCGACUUCUGUCUCUGCUAGUACCUACUUUCCAUAGUCAUUGGUCGAUUAAUCUGCCUUACUCUCAGAUCAGAUGUUGUGUCAGUACCAGAAUCUUAGCUACGGUUUAUUCUAGUUGAGGUGUAAUCUCUCUUUCAAGACCUUUUCAGCCGGCCUUCUACAAGCUUCACCAGAAGCGACUAGUCGCUCCCUCGAAUGCCUCUUUAGUAUAGGCUAGUUUGUCUUUUGCCUCCUUCCUCACUUCCUGGUAUGGUGACCCGACGAGGAACGACAAGGCCAUAUCCAUGUUCGUCUAUCAUGAACGGGCAAAGGGGCUAAUGGUAGAAUUUGUUUUGAAUCAUUAUAAGGAAAUUAUCAAAUUUAUGCUUAUGCCUCUCUAAUAAAAAAAAAUUUAAAUUUGUAGUUCACGUUGAAAACUAUAGAUUAAAUUGAAACUUUUAGUUCUUUUUAUCCUACGUGACAAUUAGAAUACUUAAAUGGCAACAAUAAUAUCAUUAUGAGAAUAAAAUUUGAAAGUGAAUCACAUUAGAAAUAUCAUUAUGGCAAAAAAACUUGAGCAAAGUAAACCUUCCCACUAUUAAUGGGAUUUGGAACCCCCACCUCGUAAAUUGACGCUAAGGGUGCGUUUGCUUCUAUAGAAUUAGAAUUGAAUUAGAAUCGAAAUUCUAUAGAAUUGGAAUUCUAUGAAUUGGAAUUCCAAGGAAUUUCAAGUCAUUUCAAUUCUUUCGUUUGGGAAAUACAUAGAAUUGAUACGGAAUUUAUUUGGAAUUCCAAAUUCUUUGUUUGUAUGAGAGAAGAAUUCAUUAGGAAUUAGAAUUGUUUUCAAGAAAAUGCUUACAUAAAAUUUUUCUUUUUUUCUUUUUUCUAUAUAAUAAUUUCUUUUUUUUCUUACAUUUAGCUAAUUUUUACUAAAGAUUUAAAAGAAAAAACCAAUUUGUGCCUUUAAUAAUUUAUUUUUUCUCACUCUCAUAUCAAUUUCUUUGGUGAGCAUUUCCUUUAGCAUGUUUUGAUCCAUUAUCCCUUUUUGUGAAGAAAUAUUUCCCCAUCUCAGCCGUGGUAUUUUCAACUGUGUUUUGAUAUAUUAUAAUAAAGCAAAAUUCUUUCUUAUUUCUAAUACUUAUGCAAAAUUCAAAAAAGAUUUCAUCAAUCAUAAUAGCUAUGCACAACUAAAACUCAAACUCCUCUAUUAAGUACCAAUGGCAUGAUAAAAAUAUGAGAGAGGAAAAGUUGAAGCAAUUUUUCACUCAUGUGACAAUAACUACAAAAUCAAGAAGCAAUAUUUCAUGAAAAAAAGGUAAGAAAACAAUCAGUUACAAAUAAAUCCUACAUAUGCAACAAAAACACUUGAUCAAAUGCUUCAACUGCAUAAACCAAAAAGCUAAAAACUAUCAGUUACAAAUAAAUCCUAACUCAAGAGGCCAACUGUAUAAACCAAUUUCUGCUUCUCCCGUUUCCACCCCUACUCCAACCGCCUCGUCUUGUUUCUGUCUCUGUUUUAUGUUCUUCAGUAAAUAAAUAGAAACUUAAAAACAAAAAAAAUUCCAGCCAAAACACAUAUCUCCAAAUACCCCUUUGUUUGUUCAUAUCAAUUCUUCACUUAGGUAGCUGCGCAUUGAGCCGUAAGGAGAGUUGAUAGCCACGAAUUGUAUAUGUUCAGGCAUAACUCUGCAGAUCAGAGGUCAAGAGAAAGUACUUCAAUGAAGCAGCAGAUACAACAUAGGUAUAUUGCUGAGAGGUUUGAUGUAAUGAUUGAGAAGAUCAUAGAGGAACAUCAAGAGACAAGGACGAAGCGUCGGCAUAACAAUGAUGCAAGUCAACAAAUGAAGGAUCUACUUGAUAUAUUGCUCGAUAUAUCUGAAGAUGAAAGCUCAGACAUAAGAUUGACAAGAGAGAACAUCAAGGCUUUUAUCCUGGUAAAACUCAUGGCUGCCUCCUCUUGUUUACUUUUACCUUUUAUUGUCGCAGUUGAUUUAUGAAAUGGAACUAGAUUUCUGCAACAAGAAUACCGCAUCUACUACCAUCAGGGUAGUAGGAACUGUAGGACAACUGUAGGACAACUGUUCUAAUUAGUGUCAAAAUUGAACCGUUAUUACCAGGCUCAAUAGUUGAAACAUGAAAGCCAGAGAUAGAGCUAUAAUUUUCACAUCAAAAACCUAUUCACAGCAUUCUAAGUGCUUGAAAAUAAAUACCUUUAUAAAACCACAGAUACAAGGAAGACUGAAGUGACGAUCUUCAGCCUUUAAGCAUGCCCAACUUCAUAUCAGCCCACAACUUUGAUAUCAAGAAGAAUGCACCGACUUCACUUAAAUGCAGGGCAAGGUUAAACAAGCCUUCCUGUAACAUAUUAGGAACAAUCAAACACAUUUAAAUAUACGCUAAGAGAGAGUGUGUGAGAGAAUUUAUGACAGCAUUAAAUAGUCCAAAACAAACAUUCAUCACAUUCCAUGUCCAUUGACGAGAAUUUAGCAGCCUUGAGCUGAUACAUAAAAUAUUUUCAGGCCCUGACAGCAAGUUUUUCAACAGCCACUGCAGUAUAGAACUAAAAAUUCGCUCUGUCAAAGUAAAUUUGUGAUUCCUUCUAUGAUUCUAGAUACUAAGUUAAGAAGAGUAGAACUGGUUUUAAGAAGAUUUUUUAAUCUGACACUUGGUCAUAACAGCCAACAGCCUUGGAGUGUGAACUGGAGACGUUAUAUACUUGAUCAUAACAGCCAACAGCCAACAAAUUUAUGCGUAUUGGUGAAAUAGAUUUUGUUAAUAUAAUACAAGUUUUAAAGAGAUUAAUUCUAUCAUAUAUGAUAAAAGCAAAAUUGAUUUUUCAUUUUCUUAUGACUGCACGAAGAUAGUGUUACUGAAACGAACCUUCAUUGUUUUUCACGCAAACUGUUUAUGCUUUAUUAGGAUGUGUUAAAACUUUUGUGAAUAUGAAGACUACUUUCUCGGUAAGAAAGUGAGUUCCAAUUUGUUAGCUACUACUAAGAGCAAAGAAUAUGCAGUCUAAAAGGUUUAAGCUAUGUUGAUCUUUAAGUAAAGCAUUUUUCAUCUUUUUUUCUUAAUAUACAUUUCAGCAGCCAUUGGCCAGGAAAGUUGAUAAUUAAGCUCUAAGGCUCAGAGAACUAAAUUCAACACUCCCUCAUUUUCUCUCCUCAAUCUCACACAACACACACACAAGAGAGAAUUAAUGGAGGAGAUCCAACAUUUCAGUCAUGAGCAUCCCUUGAUAUUGAGCAAACUCAAAGACGAUGAAUUCUCUGAUAAGAAAAUUAGUCGUUGCAGAGGCUGUUCACUUAAAAUUUUGCCAGGAUCAACCUUUUAUUCAUCAAUAUCUAGGUAUGUUCUUCAUAUUACACACCAUCCACCAUAAGAAACAAAAGGGAUCACAAAAUUCCAUUCAAAUACAGAUCAACCAGAAUUUCAUUCAACAAUUUACUUGUCUAAAGACAAAACAACACCAAAAAUUCAACAAGAAAACACUAACAAAAAGGUUCCCUUUUCAUAUCAUGAUUAAUCCUUUCAACUUUUACAGUAUGAGCUCUCCAAUUUUCAUCAAAGUUCAAGGGAAAAUAAUCAAUCAAGUGACAGUGGACAAUCAGAGCAACAAUGGAAUACAAAAGUAAUGAUCAAUGAAUUUUGCCAAAUUGGUAAUGAAAUUUCAUUCUUUACUCAUCGAAUCAAUUCUCAAUUCAUUCACUGGAAGGGAAGGGGAAGACUGACAGAAACUAAUUAAAACCCCAUAAUUUCAACCUGUGUUAUGCAGUGGCUAGCACAAGUGGAGGAGGCGGCGGCAGGAAUGCUCCAACAGAGCAUUAGAUAUGGCGAUCGAUAAUGGGAAGAGAAGAGAGACGUUUGAGUUUUUUCCAUCAAUUUUAUAGUUGACCCAUUUUUGAGAUUUUACCCGUAAAAGACCCGCGUAUUGACCCGAUUUAAGAGUUCAAGCGUGGAAUUGGAAUUGGAAUUCUUUGGUCCAGCCAAAGAAUUGAAACUACGGAAUUCGAUGGAUUUAGAAUUGCAAUUCAAUUCUAAUUCUAUAGGAAAAAUAAUACCCAAACACAAGAAUUGAAAUUGAGGUUUCAAUUCCAAUUCUAUACUCCAAUUCUAUGGAGAACCAAAUGUACCCGUAAAAGAAAUUCAAAACAAUACAAGUUUUGGAGUAGACAUUAAAUCGUGAGUUGUGAUUUCCUUUUUUUUUUUUUAAUCAUAUUCUCUUCCAAGUAGGGGUCUUGGGAGAAGAGGAAAUCCUGUUAUAUUAUCAAAACAAUGCAAGUUUUGGAUAAGACAUUAAAUUGGGAACUGCACCUGUCUGUUGCAGGCUGUCCUGUCAAAUUGCGACAAUACUUGCAAAUUGCCGGUUUUUUACGAUUGAUCUGGGAUUCGGUUUGUUUAACUCAAAUACUUGAGGUUUCUCAAGUUGUUGAAAGAACAAAAGAUAGGAAUCAAAUCCCCGAUCACUGGACAGGAAGCAUAGAGCUCAAACUACUCAGGCCACCGUCCAUUCCUGAUUGGAGAAGCCCAAAAAUGCCGAUAACAAAGUAACGAUACUAUGCACCAUAUCAUGUACUCCCUCUGUCCCGAAAUAUUUGUCACAUUUCAAGUCUCACACUUAUUUUCAAUAAUGCCAAAAUUUCAAAUGGUUUUAAUCUAAGUUCCAGCAAUAUCCUUAUUCAGUUUCUAUGCAUUAUAACUUGUUGAAUGACAGAAAGGUAAUGGAGUGGUGACAAGACAUAGGGACUCAUGUCUCAAAAAUGUCUCCAGCUGUUUUUCGGAAAAGUAUUUCGAACGAAUCGUUUGCACUUGCUGUAGGACUCAUGCAUAUCAAGUGUAAUUCUUGAAUCCACGCGAGUAACACAAAAAAAAAAACAUGUUUUUACAUUCAUAACAUGUACAAAAUGAAGAAAAUAUUGAAGAAUUAAUUAUCGUGUCAUCGGCUUAUCGCUCUAAUCAAUAUAAUUGUUGUUUUUCUUUUGUCAUUUUAUCUUUUCAGUUGGCAAGGACAUUCAAGAAAGUCAUAGGGACAGACACUAGUCCAGAGCAGCUAGAAUUCGCAGCCAAGGUACCAAAUGUUCGAUAUGAAUGUACUUCUUCCAAAAUAUCCACAGCAGAACUUGAAGAAAAAUUGGAUCGGGAUCCAGUGUUGAUUUAGUGACCAUUGCUCAAGCAAUGCAUUGGUUUGAUCUCCCAGAGUUCUACAAGCAAGUAAAAUGGAUACUGAAAAAACCCAAUGGAGUAAUUGCUGCGUAGUGCUUUACUGUGGCAGAAGUUAACCAAAAAAUCGAUCCUCUCAUGCAGAAAGGAUACUAUGGUGAUGCUCAACCUUAUUGGGAAGCACCAAUUAAGCUGGUAGACAAUAGAUAUGAGACCAUUGAUUUCCCAUUUCAGCCUGUGGAUGGACUUGAUCACACUGGACCAUUCAAAUUUAAGUCAGAGACUCGGAUGGAUUUGGAGGAGGGGCUGGGACGGCUGUCAGAGACAACCGUUCCGGAAGGUUCACGACCAUGAUUAGGCCAAAAAAUUUGUACGGCUCAGAUCACUCCUUGUAACUCGAUUUUCACGCUGUGUGGGACCCACAAAAAUAUUGUUGUAGUGUUACUCGCUGUUGUUCUAUUGUUACAUUUUGUACAGAUGAUGUUACACUGUAUGCAAAUGGUGUUACACCUUUCGGAACGGUUAAUCUGACAACCAUUCCAGCCCCGGAUCCGAUGGAUUUGGAUGGCUACUUCACAUAUAUAGGGCCAUUGCCAGCUUACCAAACUGCAAAAGAAAAGGAAGUGGAACUCUUGACUGAUGAUUUGGUCAAGGAUUUCACUGCUCCAUGGACUGAAGAUGGCAAACCAGAGAAAGUUGUUUCUUUUCCAACCUAUCUGAAGAUUGGGAGAGUUGGCAAUUAGUAUUAAUAUGGACUAUAGAAUCUUCUUUUCCUGAAUGCUCAUAGUAUUAUAUGUAGGCUGUGCAAACUUUUCUUUACUGACCCUUCUAUGCUCUUUCAGCUAUUAAUAUCUGAUGAGAUCAUUACUUUAUUUAUGGUUAGAUUGAUACCAAAAAAAAAAGUUUAGAUUGAUGCAAGUGAGAUAAUCUAUACCAAUAUGUAAAUACAUAGUCAUUAGCAUUACCAUGACAGAUCACUAUUACAAUAACAGGACUCUUGAUUAAAAAGAAAAGAAGUCAACUUGUAAGAGAUAGAAGAGAGAUAAGUAAUCAGCCACAUCAAUUGGAUGAAAGAGUAGGCAAGAAAUUUCGUAAUUGAAAAUGUCGUCAGCUAUGAUGCAGGUUAAGACAGAAUCUUGUUAGAUGCCAAAUUCUAACAAGGUUGCAGAAGAAAACUUCGCUGCCUGCUUGUACUACUUUUUGACUGCUUUACAUUUAUUCGGGACAAUGAUGGACCACAAAAUGCAAGGAUCCAUUGAACUUCUUUCGAUGGACCCAUGCCAAUUUACUUCUAGUACACUGCAGAAACCAUUGCUGGCAAUCUUAAAGUUCUUUUAUUCAAGCAUUAAUGUGAACUGUAGGUCACCCGAAGAUACUGUAUUAUUAUUAAAAGGUUGCUUGCAAGCUUAAAGUUCUCUAACAUAUUUGGGAGAACAAAUUAAGUAGACCAAGUACCUCCUCUCGGAACUGGUGAACAUACAUACCCACCCAUUCAGUCUCAUAGGCAGAUCAGAGAUGGCAGAAUCGUAUGAUAAGCAGGCCAAGCAGUAUUCAGAAAGCAGGCCAACUUACCCAGAGAAACUGUUCCAGUUCAUAGCAUCCAAGACACCGUGCCAUGACCUUGCUUGGGAUGUAGGCACGGGCAGUGGCCAGGCUGCGAGAACUGUAAGCAUCUCUAAACCAAAAUUCAACUCUGCAUUUCUUCUUUUUCAGGACAGAUUUUCUCGAAUUGUGCUUUGCUGAUUUAUCACUACUGACUUUUGUCAGUUGGCUGGGAUAUACAAGAACGUGGUAGCCACAGACACGAGCCCAAAGCAACUGGAAUUUGCACUCAAGCUUCCCAACAUUACAUAUCAAUGCACCCCUCCUGAGAUGUCUAUUUCCGAGCUUGAGCAAACGGUGUCAGCAGAAUCAAGUGUUGAUUUAGUGACAAGUGCUGCAGCUAUGCAUUGGUUUGAUCUUCCAAACUUCUACCAGCAAGUGAAGUGGAUACUAAAAGAGCCUGACGGUGUAAUUGCAGCAUGGUCCUAUACUAAGGCAGAGAUCAACGCUAGCGCCGCUAAUGCUCUUCUCCAGAAACUGUAUGAUGAUAGUGAUCCUUACAUAGAUCCACGAGCCAGAUUUUUCCUACACGACAAGUACAGAACCAUUGACUUCCCCUUUCAGCCAGUCGAUGGACUCGACCACACUGGACCAUUCGAAUUCAAAAUGGAAUGGUUGAUGGAUUUAGAUGACUGUUUCGCAUUCAUAAAGUCAUGGGCACAUUACCAAGCUGCAAAAGAUACCGGAGUUGAACUCUUGCAUGAUGAUUUUGUUCAAGGCUUCACUCGUGCUUGGCAUGAAGAUGGCAAUCCCAAAAAGAUUGCUACUUUUCGUAUUAACCUAAGGAUUGGAAAAGUUGGGAACGGGAGCAAGUGAAGGUUUUGCAGCUUCGUAUGGAUGAAAGUUUCCAUUCCCUACAGAUUUGAGUUCUGUAUCAGAUAUCAAGCCACCAGCUAAUAAGUACAUAGCUUUUAGAGUGAUUAUUUCUCAAAAAAAGUCAUUUAAUAGCCAGGUAAGCCACCUAUGUUCUCUUGAUAAACAUUUAUCUACUUGCUGGGAAAAUUAGUUGAAGUUAAUAAAUAUCCAUCGAAUCUGAAAAGAGGCUUAGAAUACAUGGUCCAAAUAAUGCUAUCCUGUCAAGAAAAUCUCAAAUUUACCAAACUCCGCGCUUGUCAAUUCAGAAAAGUUGGUCUUAUACUUGCCUACAGUUCCAUAAUUGGCUAUCCUGUUCAUUAUAAUAAGUUUUAUAUCAGAUAAGUAGACAAAGCUAAUGGUGAAUUAAGAUACAUAAGAGGUAAAAAACGAAAAGAAGAAGAAGUUUACACCUAACUUAUUGAAUGGCUGAUAGUCAAAACUGCACACUACUUGAUGUAAUCAACGGAUUGAUGACCAGAAGACUAAGCCUAACUGGAUAGUUUGAGAAAGUAUGUUUUGGUCCGGAGGUACCAAAUGAAAUCCAUUGAAAUAUAUAUAUAUACAUACAAUGUCUUGACUUCGACUAAAAGUAAUCGACAGGCCAUCAAUUCAUAGUUAGCAGGGUUAAAAUGCAUCAUCUUCGAAGAUUGUAAAUCGCAUAUCCGGGAAGAUUGUAAACCGCAAAUCAGGGAAAUUACUCUUAAGACAACAAUCCGUCAUCACGAUUUUCUGCUAGCUAAUGCAGUUAUAAUUCCACCAGCUAUAAGUCCCACAGUAGUAACUGAAAUGCCAACUCCAAUGACACCAUCUGCACCAUAAAGUUAAACUUUUAUUCCAUGUAUUGCUAUACUCGAACAAAAAAUCCUGAGGAUUCAAAGCAAUAUGGCUAUCACCUUUUGUAAUUUGUUCUAUGACUGUCUUCUCAAGGUACAAAGCCUGCCUCCAAUCAGGUUUAAUCUAGCAAACAAAGACAAAACCAAGGGGAUAAAAGCACCACUCUUGAACGCAACCAAAAUGUUCAACAAUUUCUUUCUUUUGACAAGUAAUAGUCACGUUAAACUAUGAGCAAUUUCACUAAUGGGAGCAGAAAACUAACCUCCAAACAUUUCUCUACAAGCUGCAGGCUCCUUGAAUACUCACCACUUCUAUAACAACCAACAGAUAGAAGGUAAAGCUUUUCACUCUUCUGAGAUGGACUAUUGGUUCCAGAGAGAGAGGCUGCACACAAACAAUAGUCAGUCUUUAGUAGUGAGAGUAGUUUGCAACUCAUGUUUAAAUCGAAUUUAAAUGCCAAAACUCCAAUUGCAGUUCUCUCCUUCCAGCUUUCUAAAAAGGUCAUACACUCUCAAAACAGUAUUUUUCAUAGUAUAGCAAAACAAGUACUACAAUAAAGUAAAAUUUUAAUUCUUCUACUUGUGAAACUCAGCGAACUCUAACACAUGCAAUGACAUAGGGCUUGUUUGGAAGUGAGUUUUUUGGCCAAGUUUUUUAGCUACAAGUUUUUUAACAACUUUAGCUACAGGAACCCAAAAAAACUUAUCAAAUUUUUUAACCUACACACUUCAAAAUAUCUAAUACACAAAAAACUUCUAUCUUUCUUCUUCUUUCUCCCCCACCCCAUCCACCAUACCUUCAUCGCCGGCCACCACCUCUACCGCCGUUUCCGGCGCCGGCCACUUAUUCCGACACCGGCGUACCCAAAUUUUUUUUUUUCCUUCCUUUCUCCCUCCCUCCCCUCUCUGGCCAAACUCCCCCAACCUAUGCAGCAACAGCGGUUACUUUCUUUUCUGCUCUGGUUUUUCUUUGUCCCUCCAGUAACAGCAAUGCUACGGUUGACGGGGGAACAGAGGGGGUGGGGGUGGCGGGAAACGGGAAACGGGAAGGGGAACAGGGAAAGGGGAAACGAGAGGGGGGACGGCUGGUGGGAGGAGGGGGUGGCGUGCCGGGGGAGGGGCUGGGGGGCAGCGGGGGCCGGGCUUGCAGAGGGGAGGGGGAAGGGGCUGGCAGGGGGAGGAGGCAGCGGGGGAGGGGCUGGCCGGGGGAAGGGAGGGCGGCGGCGGGGGCCGGGCUUGCAGAGGGGAGGGGGAGACAGAGGCUGGCGGGAGAAGGGGGCUGGCAGGGGGAGGAGGCAGCGGGGGACGGCUGGCCGGGGGAGGGGGAGGCGGGGGGCAGCGGGGGCCGAGCUUGCAGAGGGGAGGGGAAGGGGCAGAGGGGCUGGCAGGGAAGGGGGUGGCGGGGGGAAGGGCUGGCGGGGGGAGGGGGAGGCGGGGGCAGCGGGGGCUGGGCUUGCAGAGGGGAGAGGGAAGGGGCAGAGGGGCUGGCGGGGGAAGGGGGGUGGCGGGGGAAAUGCAGAGCAGAGGAGAAGGGGGCUAGGAGAAGAGGGGUGGCGGGAGGGGGAAGGAAGAAGAAGAAGAAGAAGAAAGAGAGGAAAGAAAAGAAAAAGGAAAAAAAGAAAAAGAAAGAGAAAGAAAAAAAGAAAGAAAGAAAAAAAAGAAAAGGAAAAAAAAUUCACCUCACAAAAAUUUUUACAAAAUUUUUUAUCUUACAAAAACUUUUACAAAAAAUUUUUCACCUUACAAAAACUUCUACAAAAUUUUUCAAAAACUUCUACAGUACACUACAGUAAAGUUUUAGACAAACUCCCAAAAAACUCAGGUUCCAAACAGGCCCAUAAUUCCUUAAUACGACAUGGCAUAUGCUUAUGACAUGCAGUAUUAUUUAAAAAAAAGGAAAAAAAUCUCUUAAUGACAUGAUUACUUCUCUAGAUAACAAACAUCUACAUUCCAGUAGGACAAGUGUCAUUGAACAACCAUAAACAAAUAAUGCAUGUAGUUACUCCUGCACGGAGGGCACAGAUGGUCAAUGAUUAGGAAAUUUUUUUUGGCCAAAGAGUUUAAAACAAUGGGCCUGUUUGGAACCUGAGUUUUUUGGGAGUUUGUCUAAAACUUUACUGUAGUGUACUGUAGAAGUUUUUGAAAAAUUUUGUAGAAGUUUUUGUAAGGUGAAAAAUUUUUUGUAAAAGUUUUUGUAAGAUAAAAAAUUUUGUAAAAAUUUUUGUAAGGUGAAUUUUUUUUCCUUUUCUUUUUUUUCUUUCUUUCUUUUUUUCUUUCUCUUUCUUUUUCUUUUUUUCCUUUUUCUUUUCUUUCCUCUCUUUCUUCUUCUUCUUCUUCUUCCUUCCCCCUCCCGCCACCCCUCUUCUCCUAGCCCCCUUCUCCUCUGCUCUGCAUUUCCCCCGCCACCCCCCUUCCCCCGCCAGCCCCUCUGCCCCUUCCCUCUCCCCUCUGCAAGCCCAGCCCCCGCUGCCCCCGCCUCCCCCUCCCCCCCGCCAGCCCUUCCCCCGCCCCCCUUCCCCUGCCAGCCCUCUGCCCCUUCCCCCUCCCCUCUGCAAGCUCGGCCCCCGCUGCCCCCCGCCUCCCCCCUCCCCCGCCAGCCCCGUCCCCCGCUGCCUCCUCCCCCUGCCAGCCCCCUUCUCCCGCCAGCCCCUCUGUCUCUUCCCCCUCCCCUCUGCAAGCCCGGCCCCCGCUGGCCCCCGCCUCCCCCUUCCCCCGGCCAGCCCCUCCCCCGCUGCCUCCCCCCUGCCAGCCCCUUCCCCGCCAGCCCCUCUGCCCCUUCCCCCUCCCCUCUGCAAGCCCGGCCCCCGCUGCCCCCCAGCCCCUCCCCCGGCACGCCACCCCCUCCUCCCACCAGCCGUCCCCCCUCUCGUUUCCCCUUUCCCUGUUCCCCUUCCCGUUUCCCGUUUCCCGCCACCCCCACCCCCUCUGUUCCCCCGUCAACCGUAGCAUUGCUGUUACUGGAGGGACAAAGAAAAACCAGAGCAGAAAAGAAAGUAACCGCUGUUGCUGCAUAGGUUGGGGGAGUUUGGCCAGAGAGGGGAGGGAGGGAGAAAGGAAGGAAAAAAAAAAAUUUGGGUACGCCGGUGUCGGAAUAAGUGGCCGGCGCCGGAAACGGCGGUAGAGGUGGUGGCCGGCGAUGAAGGUAUGGUGGAUGGGGUGGGGGAGAAAGAAGAAGAAAGAUAGAAGUUUUUUGUGUAUUAGAUAUUUUGAAGUGUGUAGGUUAAAAAAUUUGAUAAGUUUUUUUGGGUUCCUGUAGCUAAAGUUGUUAAAAAACUUGUAGCUAAAAAACUUGGCCAAAAAACUCACUUCCAAACAAGCCCAAUAAUAAUGAGAAGAAGAGGAGGUAUGAGAACUAAACAUGGAUCAAAAUAUAAGGCAUAAAGUGGUUUUCUCUGCUUCCUUUUAUAAGUUGAAUGUGACUGAACAUGCAUAUAAGUAACAAAGCAACACAAUGAAAUGACAAUUAUUUGCAAGAUGUUGAAAAUAUCCAGUAAGCUAUAGUGAUUAGGGAAAUAAAGGGACACAAAUUAUGCAAAAAACCAGAUUUUGAUGUUGAACAAAUAUAAAAAGAGAUUUCAGAGUACUUGGACAUUGACAGGUGAGAAUUGAGAAUGUAAAAUCUCCUUUUUGACAUAAAAGUAGAUGUUUGGUGUAUUGAGAAAUCACCUUCGAGCAUAGCAAUCCCUCGCUGCACAUCUUCCAACUGUGUAGAAUGAACAAGAGCCCAUGACAAUCGCAUAAUGCUUUCACUCUUUUGUUCAUCAGUACCACUAUUUUCUACCUCUGCCACUUCUUUCUCACAGCCCUGCGGAUGAAUAGAAGAAACUUAAGGCUAACACCAAUGGAUAAGAUACUAAAUGUAACUUAUGCACAUAUAGCAGCAUAUGUUACUAAUACACUACUCAGAAAGCAAUCCCUACAUGAAGGCACUUAAUAUGAGCUUCAGAGACAUUCCACAGUGCACUCUCCCCUCCUAAAUCAAAAACACCAAAGUCUUCCAAGUUAUCCAAAAGGUGGGUUUUUGGACAAUAUGAUGUGCAUAUCUUUGACCGGUGCAUACUGUCAUUUUUUUUACUCCAUUCUGAAAAAGAAUCAACCAAAAAUAGAACAUAAGAAAUCUGGUAAUCCUUUAAAAUCCAAAUUAUUGUGAAUUUCUCAAAUAGCAAUCUGCAAAACUAACAUAAUUUGCAUUUUUCCACACAAUUUUAUAUGACAUUUUCCCCACUGUCUAGCAUAGCCAUCAAUAACCCGUAAAGACCUUCACAACACCUCUUGAAAGAAUCCUGCUUCCACAACUCCCUAAUAGAUCAACUUUUGUGGCAAAGGGUUGUAUUUUAUGCAAUGACAUUGCUCUGGAAACUAUCAACUUCCAAAACUUAUCCUAGUACAACUUCUAAAAGCAACACGAAUAGGCCUACAUUGCUUCUUUUUUUUUUGGUAGAUUAUAGGCGUACAUUGCUACAUGCACAUAUAUUUUUCUCAUUUACGUUUGAAUGGCUAUUAUUUUCUGAAAAAUUACAUAACACGUUUCCAAGCACCUUUUAAUCUUACAUGAACAUUUAUCCAAGAAAUAAAUAAAUAAAAAAAAGAUAGACUGCAAACCAUCAAUUCAGAUUAUGGAUGAUUGCUUCGAUUGCUACUUUAAAAAAAGAAAAACCUCUUUUUUCCAUGUUUCCAGACGUACCUAGAAAUCCAAAGGCUAGAUUACGAACAUAAUCUACAAAAAAGGAUUUCUACCAUUUUUUUUUCCACAACAACCAAAUAGACUUAUGAAAGAAUUAUAGAAUCACAAAACUCUAGAGAAUUGAAGAAAUUCUAGAAACCCACGUCAAGUUUCUAAGAUACUCAAUCAUGCAAGGCUUAAAAAGUUUAGAAAAAUAUGGAUACAACCAAGAGAAGUCGGAAAUUAAUGCCAAAAUUUUAACAGGGAAAAAAGGGGGUGCAAAAAACUUGGAUCUUUACAAGGAUAAUGUCCCGAUUGCACUUGGGAAGGUGCUGUCCAGGGUUGAAAAAGGAGGUGACAGAAUCCAACCAUUGCGAAAUCAUUGUAGUGUUAAUUUCACGCUAUAUAUGUCCUGGGCAUUGAAGGGGAGACAUAGGCGAGGUAUUUAUACCUUUGGGGCACUCUGGGCUUGCACGUUUGUAAGAGUUGGGCUAUUGGGAAUAUAGAGCUGCUGAAAUUGCUAUUAACAAUUAUAAAGGCCGCAAUCGAUAUCAUAUUGAACACCAAUCUCUUUUUGAGCUUUGUAUGGUGCUCUUGUUUGACUUUUUUUUAAAUCUUUUAGUAAGAAGACGAUGAAAUUUAAGAAGUUAAAUUUUUAUUUUAUUUCCCAUAGCUUAGACACAUUAGAAUGGGUUGUCUGUGUGUGUGUGUGUGUGUUAGGGGGGAGGGGGGUGGGAAAUUGUCACUAACAAUUAUAAAGGCCACACUCAUUGGGUUGGACUUAUUUCGAUUUCGUAUUGGAUACUAAGUCUCCUUUUGAGUUUUGUAAGGUGCUCUUAUCUUGCCUCCGUUUUUUUUUUUUUGGUCUUUCAGUAAGGGGACGGUGAAAUUUAAAAAAUUAAAGAUUUUUUUAUCUCCCAUAGUUUAGAGACCUUAGAAUGGGUGUUGGAAAAGGGGGGAGGGGGGAGGAAUUGAAUUAGAUGGUAAGGUGAAAGGGAGUAGGCCUGUCAACGGGUCGGGUCUAGACCCGGAUCCGGACCGGAUCCGUGAAAUUUUUCCGGGUAUGGGUAGGGAUUUAAUUCCGUUUUCCGGAUCCGGAUCCGGAUCCGUUUUGUCAAACAAAAAAACGGGUCGGAUACGGAAUAUAGUAUUCCGGCCCGUAAUAGACCCGGAUCCGGAUAUAAAUGAAUUAAUAAUUUUAAAUAUAUAUAUUUAUCAAUAUAAUUUGAUUAGAGUGAUGUAUUUUAAUAAAGUUAAUUUGAUUUCUUUUCUUAUUUGAUUUUUUCUUUGCAUUAGUUAAAAAUUAGUUUACAAAUAUAUUUUUUUUCAUUUUUAUUAGAAAUUAUAAAUUUUGCUAAAUUUGUUCGGGUAGACCCGGAUCCGGAUCCGGGACCCGCCGGACCGGCCGGAUCCGGAUCCGGAACAUAGAAUAAAAGAUCCGUCGGGUAAACGGGUCGGAUCCGGGUCCGGCAUAGUAAUUCGGGUCCGGGUCCGGAAUAAUGAAUUCCGGCCCGGACCCGGCCCGUUGACAGCCCUAAAAGGGAGUCAAUCCUCUCACUAACAAGAAAAAAAAUGGAGAUGCCUUAGAACCCUUCAUUGUAUUUGAAAGGGGAAAAAAAAAAGACUCCAUCUCAUGGGAUCUUGUAAAAUGGGGCUGUUUCGCUUGAGGAUUAUUUGUAAUUUUAUGAUUAUUUAGAAUAGUACUUUUUGAUGAUAUACAUACAUAAUAUUGACAAACGUGCGUAAUAUAAAAAAAUAAUAGAAAAGAUAUUGACAAACGUGCGUAAAAAGAAUAAAUAGAUUGUUGUCCACACCCAAUAUUUAAUAUGCGGGAUAAGCAUCACAUUACGUGUUUUUGUGGAUUCUAACCGUAUGCUUCCCGAAUUUCAUCUACCAGCAAAAUGGGCACAUUAAAGCAAAUUCUUGGGCAUUGAUGCAACCUCCAACAACCAAUCUUGUGGUUCAAAAUAAAAAUAUGUUCUUUUUUUAAUGCAACAUGGCCUCAAUAAGGGUAUUUUCGGCAUUAAGGGGGUUUUUGUUAAAUGUUUGAUCAUUCAAAGGGUGAGACCAUUAUUUGGACAAAUUACAGGGAUUGAUUGGUAAUAUGGUCAAACCUCAGGAGAGGUAAAUGUAAUUAACCCUAAUCUAUACUACAUACAUAAGACCGAUGGACUUGGUCAAGCUAUUAACUUAAUGUUUUAGGAUAAAAGUAAUGUGUAAAUCUUUACCAUACUGAUAUUGUAUAUUUGUAAAUGCUAACGAGUUUGGGUGAAUGUCAAAGUGUGUAAAAUUUAUAAUUUAAAGUCAAAUUGAAAUGAUAUGCCAUUCAUUAUAAUUCGUUAAUGUAUAUACUGUAGAAAAGAUUAAUCCAAAAAUAAAACCUCAAAAGCAUGUUAGAGUUUAUUCUUUCUUGUUUUCCUUUGGACUGAAUGAAAGAAAGGUCCCAAAAGAGAAAAGAUUUGACAUUUACCUUCAAUAUUUAUAGCAACUUAAGCGGACAUUGGUUGCAUGGAGACACAAACUGAUUAAAAUGGUAUUAUAUUUGCGUAAUAUUAUUAAAUUUUGAGACGAAAUAUACUCCUUUUCUCUCAAAUAUCAAAAUAUCUAAUAUUUCAAAACAAAAUGUAUUGAUUGCCCACAGCCAUCAGGAAUAAAAUAAUUUGGGGAAGGGGAUUGCGAUAAUCAAAGUGGCAAAAAACAAGACAGAAAUUAGCUGGUUUUCAUUAUUAAGAAAUCUAAUUGUUAUUUUUAUAUUGGUCAUUAAGGAAUACAAAAGAAAGGAUUAAAAAGAAUGUCCGAUUGACAAAAACAUAAUUUAUAACAUAGGAUUUAUCUGUAUCAAUUCCAAUCAAAUAUUGAACUUAAAAAGAAGAUUAAUUUCUUUAUACCGAAAUAGUUUUAUAUAUUAGAUGAAUAUAUUAUUUUGAUUUGUUACUUGUUUAAUUUUUAGUUGUGUGGAUUUGUAACAAACAGAUAUUUUCCAAGUCUUAUGUCUUAUUUGAAUUUAUUUUUUAAUUAUCUUUCGAAGUUAAAUACUAGUUGUAUCAUUUGAAGUUUAGUUAGUUGGCGGAUAAAAGCACAAAAACUGUACCGAAGCAUUCAUUCAGAAAACAAACAAUGGCCCAUGCAGGUCUCGAACCUGCGACCUUCGCGUUAUUAACACGACGCUCUAACCAACUGAGCUAAUAGGCCGGUGUGAUUGCUAUGGCAAAAAGUAACCAUGACAUUGGAACGGCCGUCCACAGUAUACAUUUUACAAAGUAAACUUUGGAAAUUGGGGCAUCUUUCGGGACUCGAGAAAAUUAAAUAUAGUUUAAUCUCUUCUUAUUCAGACAAAAUACCCUCCAAAAUCCAAAGUCCCUUGAGAAAUUGAACCAAAAAAAAAAAAAAAAACUGAUAUUCUGAAUUCUGAUGCUCCAACCCCAAUGUCCAAAGUAGCCGUUGGUUAGUCCGCCUCAUGCAGUUCAAAUUCGAACUCGGUCAAGGACUCUAUUUAGUAUUUUCUUCCCAUUAAUCAAAUACUACUGUACUCUACUAUUCAGUCCCAACGCCCAGCCCCUUCCUUUCCUCCAGAUAAAAAAAUCUGAUAAAGACAAGAAAGAACAGAAGAAAUGUUGAAGGCUGCCCAAUCUCCAUUAUCCGACCACCAGAUCCAACGGCCGAAAAGUGGCCGGAAGCCACUGCAGCCAAAGAAUUCUCCGGCCACUCCUGUUGUCAUCACACCCCACCAAAAACCGAAGCAAAAUGCUGCAACUGAUCGGAUUGAGGUGUCAGUGUUGGAUAAUGACUCGAACAAGGAGAAUGUGAAUCCCCUUUUUGCCACCCCGGUGAAGAAUGAAGAGUUCAGGAUCGAACAAUUCGAUUCGUCCCUGGCUGAGGAGCUGAGUGCCAUUCGCGAGAAGCUCGAGAGGUUGAGGAUAGAGAAGGAGAAGACGGAGAAGAUGCUCAGUGAGAGGGAUUUGGUUCUUGAUUUGCAGAUGAAUGAGUUGCACAAGAGAGGCGAAGCUCAGAAGAUGCUCGAAAUCGAGGUUGAUAGGCUGUAUCGAUUGAAGCAGCUCAAGUUAUCUUGCAUGGUAAGAAGGAUUUAAGGGAAAAAACAGAACAUCUUUCAAGAUUCCCUUCAUUGCGUUUUAUCUGAGUUACUUGUUAGAUUUGAUAUUUCCAGCAAUGAUGCUAAUGUAAACUGUCUGAAUUUUCUUGGGAACAGGGCAUUUCGCCAAUCCGAUCGCUGAGAAAUAAGGCAAAAGAAAAGGGCGAGGCAAGUGAUCAGUUGUUAAACUUGUUUGGUCCUUGUAACUUUAUAGAAAGGCCCGUGUCUUCUAAACCUGCGUUCUCUGUUCUUUAUUUUUCAGGGAACGAAAACUGAUUACAGGGAUGAAGUUAACCAGGAGGAAAGCCUGUGAAGCUGAGAUCAGAAAUUAAUAGAGACAUGCAACUGGCAACAUAAUAUUGCCUGCAAAUUGAAAUUUGACAGGCACGAAUUAUAUAUAUAGCUCCUUUUUAACAAUUUUUGUCUAGUGGAAGAAGCAAAAGGGGAUGUGAAAACUGAAAACUGGUGUGGCAGCUAAGUGGUGGCACAAUACAUCAUUGUAUAGUUUCUAACAGAGCUACUAUCUCUACUGUAGAGAAAGAAGGAAAACAAAAAGUUUAUCUAAUUACUGUUUAUGUUUAUUUCUCUGUGUAUUUUCUCUUUAGAUUGGCUCUCUCAACGGAGGAAAAGAAAUUAUAAUAUGUUGCAGAUUAUCAUAAAAGCUUGAUGGAAAGAUGCAGGGCCAAGAAAAGAAAAGAUUAACUGGGAUGUCAUUGACAGCAUAUUAAGUAUUAACAGAUCAAUCAACAAUCAGUACCUUUAGUUCACCUAUCUGGGCUGGAUGAGAUGUCGUUUUGUUCAAAAUAUAUCGUGUUCCAUUUGUGAGAAGCAGUUGCUUUGAUGUGCUAAUCAAGAAAUAUUGCUUCAAUUCUCUGCUUGGAUAAUUUCUUGUCUUACUAGCAGUCUAGCAUAGUUCAAUUUUGAUGUCAGAGGAUAUGUUUCCUCUCGACCGUUAUUUUCCUCCGUAUAUGAGGAAACAAUGCAAGUAGAUUGACUUAUUUCCUUACUUGAUGAUGCUAUGAUAUAAUCCUUCCUCUUUGAUAAGGAAAAGCUGAAUAACAGCGCCUGAAAUCCUCCUCUGUUUGUUCUGUAUCAUGACUUGCCAACUUCGAUUCAAGGUGCUGUUGAAUCUGGUUUCUCUUCCACUUUUAUUUCCCACAUUUAACCACCCAUGAUUUUAUUUUCCGAAAACACAGAAUAAGUAGUUUUAAUCCACAUAAAUCCUAUCUUUCCUAGUACAACUAAGGUGGGGCACUUUGGUUCCUUUUUGUUUUUGCCCCCCCUAAACUCAACAUCCUUACCAACUUAACUGAAAUGGUCAGGCAACCAACACAUAAAUUAUCCCAAGUUCUAAACAAACACGCAUGAAAUAGGAAAUCACACGCUUAAGUGCAAGUCUAGUAAAAGAGUACCAAAACGGAAAAAAAAGAAAUGAUCUUUGGAUCAUAAUCCUCUUGGGGAUGGAGAACAAAUUGAUGGAUUGCAGCUUAUAACAAGUGCUGGAGAAUUAAGGGAUAGUUCUGUGGUCGUCAGAGCACAAAUUGACCGAUUGCAGAAUGUCAUGACAAGUGCUGCAGAAUUAGGGGAUAUUUUUGUGGUCAAUGGAGCACAAAUACAUGGAUAUGAGCAGAUAACAAGUGGAGCAGGCCAUGUUUGAAUGAAGGAUCAGAUGCAAAUCAGGCAUGAAGAAGGGAUGUCUCAAUGCAAGGCAAUGAGGGAUCAAGAGGCAAAUACUGCACCUACUAAUCAAAGGGCAGAUGAUGACUUCGGAGUUGCAGAUGAAUAUUCCAAUCUCAAUCAAAAUCUUGUACUAGGAGAUGAGAUCUACUUGAUUCUCCCUCACUAUGAUCUGGAUAACGGAUGGGAACAGUCCUACUCAAUAUCCGUGCUCAUCUUUUGAUGUGGAUCCCGCUCUCUUAGCUGUGUAAUAGUCUGAUAAACCCUGGCUUCCCAAAUGAAUCAGCAUAAAAGCAAAACAAAAAAAUUGUUAAAUGGUUGUGAAGAUUUUUUUUUUUUAAUCUGUGGCAGAGUAUAGGACCAUGCUGCAAUUACUCCAUUGGACUUUUUCAGUACCCGCUUGACUUGUUGUUGGUAGAAAGUUGGAAGAUCAAACCAAUGAAUAGCUGUAGCAAUGGUCAUGACUAAAUCAUCAUUUGGUUAAUCUCAGCUAUGUGAACUUUUCCACAGAAUUGGUUUACAUAUAUAAUAUAUAUGCAGCAUAUGCAUCCUAAAAACAAAUCAUAGUAGAGAUUCGUAAAAGAAAACAAGGUAUGUCUCUAAAUAUAAACAUAUUUCAUGUACAGAACUGGUUUUCAAUGGCUAUAAAAAAGCAGAGCUGCAACUCAGGGUUGAGUUCAACAUAUCAAGUUGCAGACAAAAGUUAACAAUUUGAACAACUAGGGAUCUACACAAGUUAACAUGAUGUGCAAAAGUACUAGUAUUAGAUUAUCUCUCCUUCUUCUACUUCCCAACAUAAAUAUGUGUCUUCAGCAUCAUCUGCUGCCACGAAUUCCUCCUUCAAGUGCAAGCCAAACUGUUCUGAAUGGUGCACAGCCUUAUCGGUCUUUAAGCCUUUCAAUACCAUCAUAGCCGAUCUGUUACUUCCAUGGACAACGUAAGAGGGAGAACACUGACUUAGUUGCUCAAGUUCCUGAGAAUCAUGAGAUUGUCCUCAAAGUCAACUGUGCUUUCCAUCAUCUGCAACGCAAAAAGGGCAGCUUCCCUUUCUUUUUGCCUCAAUUCAGCUUCUUUCUUCUUUAAGUGCUGCGCUGCUGCUCUUAUUGUUUCUGCUUUAAGCUCCUCCCAUAGCGCCAUGUUAUCGUUCCAAUCUUGAUGGACAUGGACAUCAAUUUUGUCAGCUUUUGCUGUAGAGAUGAUUUCAGAAAAGCGAGGUAUUAACCUAACUGCACUUAAAGCCUUCUUCAAAACGUAUUCGUCAUCAGGAUUUGGUCGACUUUUGCUGCAGUUUUGAUCACCAAAAACACCAAAAUUCCUUCCUGCUGCUUGGUUUUACAACUACUGAUUGCACCAAUCUUCUUCUUGCAGCGUUUCCAUCUUUUUAAAGUAUCCAAUAUUCUCUUUCUUUUUCCAUCCCUUUCAUGACCAUCUAGAAACCAGAAGUACUUGAGCAACUUUUUGAUCCUUGCUCCCAUUAAUUUGCGACGUUGAUUUUCUCCCCACUGGAUUGUUCUUCUUCCCGACCAUGCCGUUCUUAGCUACUCCCAUGUGCGAUGGUAACAACAAAAACCAACCAACCCAAGAAUGAUUGUACUUCUAGAGGUCCAAAUCUCCCAAACCCAAGAAUCAAACCAGAUAGUUUUCUGAAGAAAACCAAGAUAUAACUACUUUGUUACUACUUGCUAGGGAUCAAAGAAGGAAGAAGAAACUAGUUUUGGAUGAUAUGAAUAAUGAUGAAGUUUAUCGCUCCCUUCGGGUAGUUUGCUAUUCCAAGAUCAAGGAAUGUAACCCUCGAUGAUAUGAUCACUAUGUUCUUGAUUUCGUUGCGGCCUGUAGUUUAGAGUAACAAUGAACAGAAUCCUUAAAUACUAUACGAAACCGGUUGGAUUUAGGAAAGUGGAAGAAACAGAGGAGCUCGUGUCUGGCGGCAAAUUUCAAAAAUAGCCGUCAGAUUAUGGGCUUGAGUGUUUCAGCAAAAGACCUCUCUUAUUUUGCCCUAUACAGUUUUGGCCCAUGCUCACUUUGGGCAAUUGCAAUUUCUUUCUGCUUCCAUAAACUUGACACAAUUAUACUCAAGGGUUAAUCACAUUUUAUCCCCUUAAAAGAAUACCUCAUUUCUCAAUUUAUCCCCUAACCUUUAAUUUUGCUCACUUAACCCCCUUUAGGACAAAAUUACCCUUGCAUUAUUUUAACUUUUCAUUUAUCUUGUUUGCCUUUCUUUUAUUUCUUUUGCUCUUUCUUCUUUAUUUAAUUCUUCCUCUUUCCCACAAAAAUUUUCACCUUAAUGAUUGAAAUUAAAAAAGAGGAAUUGCAGAGAUCUAUUUUCUCCUUAAAUGAUUAAAAAAAUAUUCAAAUCACUUUCCUAAAAUACAAUUUUUUUAGUCUUUCAAUUCUUUUAAUUUUGGAUUUUCCUCUUUUCUUUCUAAUUUCUCAUUUUAUUCUUAAGAAAAUAUUAUAAGAUGAAAUUGUUUUCCUUUCUUUUAUUUCUUUUUCUCUUGCUUCUCUUUUUCAUCCUUUCCAAUAAAAAUUCCAUUUCAACGAAAAUUUUUGUUUUGAGUUUGUAAUUGCAUAUUUUUAGGUGAAAGUUUAAGAGACAUCAAAAACUAAAUUUUGAUUUUUUGUAUGAUGCCACGUGUCACAAAUUUCAAUUGAUGAUUAUUAAUCAGGUCACAAUUUCAUCUUAAAAUAUUUUCUUGGGAAUAAAAUGAGAACCUAGAAAAGAAAGAGAAAAAUCCAAAAUUAAAAUAAUUAAAAGACUAAAAAAAUUGUAUUUUAGGAAAGUGAUUUGAAUAUUUUUUUAAUCAUUUAAGGAGAAUAUAGAUAUCUGCAAUUCCUCUUUUUUAAUUUCAAUCAUUAAGGUGAAGAUUUUUGUGGGAAAGAGGAAGAAUUAAAUAAAAAAGAAAGGAAAACAAGGUAAAUGGAAAGCCAAAAUAAUACAAGGGCAAUUUUGUCCUAAAGGGGGUUAAGUGAGCAAAAUUAAAGGUUAGGGGAUAAACUGAAAAAUGGAGUAUUCUUAAAGGGGAUAAAAUGUGAUUAAUCCUAUACUCAAUCCCUCAAUCUGAAAUCACUCUGGCUCUUGAGUGGGGAACUCGAAAUUUACUUGAAUGCAUCUGUCUGCAUUUCCGCUUGCUACUCAGCCGGCUUUUUAAAGGGCUAAUUAUGAAAACUCCCCGUACGAUUUAACCAGUUUGCACUUUACCUCCUAGCGUUAUUUUUUUCUCACUUUACCCCAUAAAUCAUUAGUCAACUCUAACAUUACAUAACGGAAAUGUCAAAAAGACAUUCAUACCCUAAGGGCUAACUACAGUAAAUUCUCCUAAAUUAUAGCUAUUUUGUACUUUAUUGGCUUAUAUCAUUUUUCUCUUAAUUUGUCUAUUAGUCCUUAAAACCAUUAGUCAACUCUAAUAUUUUGUAUCACUCAACAUAAACUUUUUAGAUGCAAAAAAAAAAAAAGAAAAAUUUAGUAAUUCAAAUAAAUUUUAAUAGCAUAUAAGUAUAUAUUAAAAUAACAACUCUGGAAAUUAACCAUAUUUCUCUUUUUUAGUAUUAUCAAUAAAAAAAUAUGUAUACUUCCAUAUAAAAAUGGUCUAGCUAUUAAAAAAAAGUUUAGCCAUAUGCACAUUACUAAGGAAAACUAACAAUAUGCGGAUCAUUUUUAGACUUUUAAAAAUAAUUUUCAUAUUUUAAUUUUUUAAUAAUAAAUUUUUUUUCCUACUAUUGAAUCAUACUAGCAAGAUAUUCUCAUGAAUCUAAAAAAAGUGCAAUUAUGGAAUGAAAUUUAACUAGGACCAUAUAUAUAUAAAUUAUUAUAUUUUAUUAUUGUGUUAGGAAUAUUUAUUUUUUAGAUAUUAAUUGUUCUGGAUGUUAUCAAAUAUUGGAGUUCAUUAAUGAUUUUAGUAAUAAAUAAACAAAUUGAUAAAAAAAAAGGGUUAAUUGCACUUUAUCCCCUUUAAGUAUGGGCCAUUUCUCAAUUUACCCCCUCAACAUUUGUUUUUCCUCAGUUUACCCCCUUCGUCAGUCUAGCUAAGCAAUUACACCGUUAAAAACUUCAAGAUGCCAAAAUUGCCAUUGGAAGAGAGCCGUUUGUUUUGGAUGACUAAAAUGUCCCUCAAUGAGUUAUAAAAGGGGGUGUCUAAUACUUUUUAGCCUAUUUUUUCCCUCUCAUGUUUUUAUCCAGUUGCAGCCUAUUUUUUUUCUUUCAUUUUAGCAGAUCCAACAACUCCUAAAAUUUUUCUUUGUCAACCGAAAGCAUCAUAAAAAUGUCACAAAGUGUUUCAAAUAACGUUGAAAGAUCACCCCAAAAAAUGUGUGGAUGUGGUAAAGAGGCACCAUUGUACACCUCUUGGACAUUUGAAAAUCCGGAAAGAAGAUUUUACAGCUGCUCAAAUUACAAUGUAAGAAUUGUUCAUUAAUAAUCUGUUAUUAUUGUCUUUAAUUUUGCUCUGUACAUGAAUAAGUCAGAAAGAGUUUUAGACAGCUAUAUUUUCUUUUUAUUUAGAACUAGAUGCAUGUGGGCACUUUUCAUGGGUAGAUCCUGAAGUUUUUAGCAAAGCAAAAGAAGUGCAGCGCUGCAAUCUAGACUGUUGGGGCAAAAGGAGAAACUUAUGUAUUUGUAAAGGGAUCAUGAAGAAUUGGCAAAUGAGCAUGAAAAAUUGAAAAGCAGAUAUGAAGCCUUAGCAAUAGAAGUCUAUAUAUUAAAAGCUGAAAACCAACAGCUACAGCAACAAUACAUGAUUGUCAAAGCUGCUCAAUCUUUAUCAUGGAGAAAAACACUAGCCAUUACAUUUUUGAUUGCUAGCAUUAUGUAUAUGUACUCUAUUUUUGAACCAAAAGGCAAGAAAAAUUUGUUUUAUCUAAAUAUAUAUAUAUAUAUAUAUAUAUAUAUAUAUAUAUAUAUAUAUAUAUAUAUAAAGAUUAUAUUAGGUUAAAAGCAUUUUGCACAUCAGAUUACAUCUUAGCAUAUGUCCACAUGGCCACCCAAACAAAAGCACCCAAACAAAGGCCAUUUUAGUAGAACCUAACCAAAACAUGAUAGUAGAACAUGCCCAAAUAAUGGCAAAAGCAAAAAACAUAGGCUCAUUUCUAACAUUGUUGCAAAACAAGCAAUCAAGUACUAGUAAUGACAAAAACAGUAACUUAAUUUCACUGCACUACACAUCCAGGUAUGUGCACAACUAUUGAACGUCUAGUUGCAAUUGAAGAUCCUUGGCUAGAGAACACAACUUCUCCAAAUCUAGUACUCUUGGUUUGAACCUAUAGUCAUGGAUAAGGGGUAUCUUAGUGCAUCAAACUACUACUAGGGGUAGCAUGUAAACAUGGUCAAAAGAUUUGAACUCACCAUUCUAGUUUUAGCAUCACCUGAAUUGCUUUUUGAACUUCCAGUUUUAGCAUCACCCGAAUUGGUUCAUGGUCUUUAGUUGUUGCUGUAGUUUUUGCUUUUGAACUUGUACUUGGUAAGUUGAUGGUAGCAACAGUAGUAGUUGUACUUAAAUUGGCACCAGAUGUUGGUGUUAUUGUCCACUGUAUCAUCAAUAGCAAUAAAUAAGUGAGCACGUAUAAAAUGGCCAUGCAUACAAAAUUUUAAAAUGUAGGCUUACCAGUUGGGUUGGGGGGGAUUGGCCAGUCUUUGAAGUACUUGGAAUCUGCAUAAUAAAAAUAUUCUUUAAUCAGUGCAAAUGUAACCAAUUCAAUUAUAAAUGCAAAUAAAAAAGGAACUCACUACCUUAGAGUCAAAUGGGAUAUAUGUUUUACUUGUUGAUACCCUUUGGCCAUUCCAACGUCCAAUACCACAUAGUGGGCCAGUGUUGUGAUCCGAACCCCUACCCUUACCUCUGUCUGUAUCUUUAUCUCUCAUUUUAGCUCUAGUUGGGCCUUUUACAGUAGUAGAAUUAGUUAUAUCAGCACUUCUCCUAAUACUUGGAAUCAAAACAGGCUCAACAUUAUUUCUAGAGUAGCCCCUACCAGCUCUCCAUCCUUGUUUAGUAGGUCCUUAUACCUUACAACACACCAAAAAGUGACAGUCAGAUGUAAGCAGAGAAAACCCAACAAGCAUAUAUUGAUUGAAGUUACUUGUGCAUUCGCUGGUUUCCUUUGCCUUACAAAUGAAUAGCCGGUGACCUUGAAACUUCUGGUAUUGUGGUCAGUAUGACCACAAUGAAUACAGUGAAUUGGUAGCCCUAUUUUAAACAGUUUUUCAACAUGUAAGUCCUCUAAUGGAGCCUUUCUUCUAACUUUCUUAGGUCUACCCAGGGCUAUCCUCCUAUGAGGUGGGAGUAAUGAAUAAUUGCAUGUGUUCAUCCAAUUUGCUUGGUCUGGCAUAGGCAUAAUAACUCCAGCAUAUGCCUUUUUAUAUGUUUCCACUGAGUAGUAACUAUCAACAUAUGCUUAUGGACUUUUGUUGUCUUGCAUAAGUCCAACACAUGUAUGGACACAUGGAAUUUCUAUCAUAUCCCACUCAUUGCAUGUGCAAGACCUUUGAACUGCAUAAACAACAAAAGUUCAUGCUAUACUAGUUACCUCAUAAACCUCUCUUGUAGACACAAGUGCAUCAAACUGAGCUAAUUGUUUUUUCCUCUCUUCAAUUUUCUAACAAAUUCUCGAACAAAUGUGAGACUUCACCUUCUGAAUCCAGUCUUUUUUUUCUUGAAACCUGCAUAUUAUCUGCCUUCGAAGAGCUUCAAACAUAGUCAAAACCGGCUCCUCCCUAACAUCCUUAAUGUAUUGAUUGAAAUUCUCACAUGUUAUGACUUAAAAUGUCACAUUUUACCCUUGGAGACAAGGUGAGUCUGGCCCACAGGUUAGCUAGUAUGGAACUAAGCCAUGCAUGUUCUUUUGAUGCUACUGUUUGAAACUCUCUCAUUUUGCUUUCAUAGUGACUGGGCAAAUAAGCCCUGACUAUUGCCCACAUUAUAUCUCUUAGAUGCUUAUCCUUGAAUUUUAGCUUGAAGUUAGCAUACAUGUGUCUAACACAGAAUCGAUGCUCCACUCCAGGAUUUAAUCCCUGACAUAAAAAAAUAAAUCACAUAAUUAGUGACAUGAGUGAGCAAGGAAUAAAUGAAAAUAAAAUAGAUUGCAGUGGUGCUGACCUUUUGUCUAUCUGACAAAAAUACCCAACCUCUUUCAAGUGGAGUUCCAAUGGCAUCAGUAAGGCUGUCCAAAAACCACCCCAACUAUCUUGGCACUCAGACUCAACAAGAGCAAUUGCAAUUGGGAACAUCUAGGUAAUAGCAUUCCUACCAAUUGCAGACAUAAGUUGUCCUCCCAUGAUCCCCUUAAGGUGACAUGCAUCCAGCCCUAUUACAGCCCUACAUGCAUUUACAAAACCUUCCUUUUGUGCAGUAAACAUCACAAACAUUCUUUUGAAGAUUGGGCUUUUACAAAGUUGGGAUUUUUUAGUUACAAUAAAUGCCACUCUUACAUGCUCUUUUUUCUAAGGAGUAUAGCACAAUAGUCUCUUAAUCUUGCAUACUGCUUUGCACAUGACCCUUUGACUGCUUCCUUUGCAUUCUCCUUUGCUCUAUUCAUUUGAGAGUUUGUACAAUUGAGGUUAUACUUCUUUUUUAUGCUCUUCUUGUACCCUUUUACUUUCAUACACGGAUGGUCAGCAAUCUCCUCCAUAAACAUCUUAGACAGCCACCUAGAAUUUGCACUCUUGUUCUUGUAAGACCAUGGACAUUCAUCAGGUAGGCCUUUAAUGGACUUCACUUGGAGUGUAACUUUGCUUCUAUUAUAGCCACUAGGAUAUAUUCUCCAUCGACAAUUAUUUGCACAUAUAACUAUAGCUUUAUCUUUGUCAUUCUUAGUGAAGGUAUCUUCAAAUCCAUUCAAAAUUGAAUACAUUCUAACUGCAGCUCUAAAAUCAUAAAUGUUGGUGAGAAUUCUGUCUACAGUCAACUCAGGAUUUUUUAGAUCCCUUUCCCUGUUAAACUCAGGAAAUUCAUGCUCCAUGGCUUCAUCAUUUGAAUCAUAAAUUGGUUUAAGCAUUUCAUCAUCACUAAUAUCUUCAUUAUCGACCAUUUUUCCUUUCACUUUGGAGUUAAUGUAUGUAUUAUAUUCUUCACUAAUCAGUUCCAUGUACUUAGCAUAAUCAGGUUGUUUUAGGUGACAAUCUACUUCACCAACAUCCCUCUUUACCUCAUCUAUAGGAUCACAUGCAUCAUUUAAACCAUCCCCAUUUAGGAAAAAAUCAAAGUCAGAGUCAUAUUCAAAUUCCCUACAACUAUCCCCUUCAGCUUCAUGUGAAGCAUCUGAAGUAUCACUUUCGGCCUCAUUAUUUUGGGGUUGUUCAGUAUUAGGAUUUAGAUUUUGUUCACCAUCAAUCUCAAUAUUAUCUUCUACAAUAAUUUCAUCAGUAUGCAUAUCUUCUUCAGGGAUCUCACCAACAUAAAGUUGUAUGAUAGUUUGAGUUCUAUUUGUCACAAACAUUUCUAGAACUGUUUGGUCACUGUUUAACAGUCUAAGACCAAACUGAAGGUCAAGAUUCCCAACCCUGUAAUACACUGAUGUUUCAUGUGAAAUUCCAACUUCUUUAAAAGCAUCUCUUAACUCAAAAAUUGACAUCAAAUCAGGGCCAACAUCAUCAAAAUUAGCAACUUCUCCCCCCACAUAUUGUAAAUUUGGGACAUGGGCAAAAUGGCCCCCAUAGUGAACCUCUAAAACAUAGGUUUUAAAAUCCAUUUUUUUGUAAUCACACAGAUAAAGGCAAUUGUUUAGUGCAUGCACAGGUAAUAUAAAGCAUACAUCUUUUAUUGUCCCCAUAAAAAAAAUCCUAGUUUGUCUAUUUAACAGUCGACGUAUAACCAACCAAAGUAAACAAAUAAUCCAGCAAAUUAAUAAUUAAAAAAGACAAAAGUUGCCAAAAAUCCAUCGUUUUCAUCAUAACCCGACAAUGACAAAACAACAAAACAAGGGACCACAGCAACAGAUGAUUCAAACAAUAAUUGUCUACCAUAUUAAAGGCCAUGAAGCCACUAAAAAAACCCUUACCUUGCUAUUGUUGUUUCUCUACAAUACAAUUGGUUAAAAACUAAAAGUUUCUAAGAUCAAGAAAAAAUAGCAAAGCCGAACCUUAAGGGCUGCCCUUGCUACAAUCUACUUCCAUUUCAAAUUCAAUUCUACCUCUGCUACACAAGUUCAUCGAUUGACCGAUUUUUCCAUUCAAUAUUCUGGUGAAUUUUCAAGUUCUUUAAUGGAGGUUUUGCUAAGAAUUCAGCCAAAGAAAAAAUGGCUGAUAGAGAAGAGAGAAAAGAUGACCGACAAUGACAAAAGAUAGGGAACAUUUUGUCUUACGAAUUUCUUUUUUUUUGUCCCAUGUGCCAGAUGGAGGGAAAUUUCCCUCCUCCAUUAUUCCAGGGUAAUUUUGGAAACUUGUCUUUAUCCCUUUAUAAACCUAGACAUAUGGGCAUUUUGGGUUGUUCAUUAUUUUCUUAAGGAUAUUACUGUUUUUUCAUUAUUUGGUUUAUCUCCAUUGAGGUUGACCGUUAGUCUUUAGGGUAAACUGAGGACAAACAAUGGGAGGUAAAUUGAGAAAUGACCCAUAUGUAAAGGAGAUAAAGUGCGAUUAACCUUAAAAAAAUGAUGUUAGGGGAUGAAGUGCAAAACAAGCUAUAAUUUAAGGAGAUAUGUCGUAGUUAGCUCUUAGGAGCGUAAAUGUCUUUUUGCAAUCAUCAUUACACAAUGUUAGAAUUGACUAAUGGUUUAGGGGAUAAAAUGAGAAAAAAUUAAUGUUAGGGGAUAAAGUACAAAAGUGGCCAUACCUUUGGGGGAGUUUUUGUGAUUAACCCUUUCUUAAAUCCUGUUUUGUUAAUAAGGAAAUUUUUUUUUUUAAAAAAAAAGGGUACAAGAACAGUAAGAUUUGAAAUUUGAGCCGUCCCUUGUGGUCUAGAGAGGUUGAAUUAGAUAGAAUAAAAGUCCGAAAGGGAUCACUGGCUAGAAAACAAAAAUUGUUUUCAUAAGAAAAAAAUUAUGUGGUGCCUUCAAACUAGCAUUUCCUCAAUUUGUGUAUUUAGAUGAUAAAAAUAGUUCAUCUAUUAGUAUUAGAAAUUGUUACAAUCUAGGGCCAAAAAUACUUCUUGGUAUAUUUAACAAUGAAUUUAAUUUGAAGGUACGAUACUCAAAAGUGAUGAUAGAAUCACCCUACUUUUGAUAGCACAAUUGCUCCUUCUUUGGUUGAGUAAAAUCCUUGGUCUGCACAGGCUAGAUACUGAAAAAGAGAGGAGACUUUUACUAGAAAUUUAGGAGUUAUAAAUUUGAGUGGAACUUUGACAUGGUUUUCACAAACUCCUAGUCUAGUUUUAUGGUCAUUGCUUUUAUGGAUAAUGUAGAGUCUAGAUCCAGAUUCCCGAGAUCUUUCAAGAUCGGCUAAUCUCAAUGCGAGUUUCCUGCAUAGUAAGCAAUAAAGAUAGGACUGGUUCUCCGGUUCAAUUCUGAUACUUAAGUUAGCGAGUGUUUACAAUUCGAAAAUAUAAAAUCAAUUCGAAGGUUUGGUAGUAGUUAACUUUGGAAAUGAAGUAGAGGGGAUAUUUAGAAUAGAGCUGGGGAACACCCUUAGGACAAGAGCUAUUGUGAUAGGACCAUAGUUAUCAAUCCGGCCCGGCCUGACGGUUUAACCGAUUAACCCGAUGAACCGGCCAUGAAAUCGGGCUGGGUUGUUAAUUGGAUCGUUUGUGCAAGAAACCAGUUGACUUGUCAACGGACCGGCAAUUCAACCGAUCAAUUUGGUUGAACCAAACGGUUUUGUAAGAUUCCAGUUGUUGUGUUAAAAAUUUUUAGAAGAUGUUGCACUAGAGAACUGGAGAAUUAAAAAUUUUUAGAAGAUGUUGCACUGGAGAAUCGAAUCUUGGACUUCAACCACAAGAAUGAAACGCGCUCACCACUGAACCAGCAAGUCAUUGGGUUCUUGUUUAGCCCUUCUAUAUUAUAUAUUACACCUUUAUUCUUAUUUUAUUUCUUCAAAACAAAAUUUGUUUAGAAUCAUUUAAUAAAAUUUUAUUAUUCCCCAAAUUCUAUAAGUUAUGAAUGAAUUUAAAAUAGCAUAUUACACAAUUCAUUUUAAAGACAAAUAUUAUUCUUAAUAACUUUUUGCACUUUAAAUUCGUAAAUAAACUAGAUAACUACACUUAGAUAAAAUGUUAUACUUGAAAUUUGGUGGAUUACUAAUUAAAUUUAGAUUUUGUUAAUUCUUAUAAGAAUUAAUGAUUUUAUAAUAAAUUGGACUAACUGAGUAUUUACCAUGACAUAGUUUAUUAUAGUUUCAACCAUAUUAAAAAUUAUAAAAUAUAAUAUUUAAGUAUAUUUAGUGACCCACUGGUUGGACCACUCACCCACUAGUUGAACCAGUAACCCGUUGAUCCACUUCUUUUACCGGGUUCCUCCUCGGGUCGGGUUUAAUAACUAUGGAUAGAACAGAGUGUAGCGAUAGGUCGGUUCUAGGUCUAUUAUAGCAGGAGGAUAGACUUGUCAUAGUCUAUAAAGUGUCAUGUCAAUCACUUCUUGUCAGAGAAAUACUCGACGGCCAAAACCUCAGCUAUAAGUAUAUUUCACCAGACAGAGGGUUCAAGGAAGGGGGAGUUAUCUCGGAAGAUAAUCCCAAUUACUACAGAUACUGGCAUUUAUAAUAUGCCACUCUAAGGGUUCGUUUGGGAGUGGAAGAUUUGGAUAGAAAAGAAAGGGAAAGAAGAGAAAGUUUACUUUUGCUUCAUUUGUUAGUUUUAAAUAGAAAAGAAAAGAAAAGAAAUGGAAAGAUGAAUAGUUAAGAAAAUGCUUCCUCCCAAAUCGGAAAGAAAUGGGAAGAAAGUUUGGAGAAAGCUUGAUAUUUUUUUUAAAAUGCCUAUUUUGUCCAUAAAAAGGUUUUGAUAAAUAUUUAAUGACUUUUAUGUCCAAAAUCAUUCCACUAAUUCUCAAAACUCCCAAACAACAUAACAAUCUCUUCCCUUCUCUUCUCUUCUUUCGUAACUUAAGCUUUCCCUUCUUUUCUUUUCUAUCCUAAACUCCCAAACUAAGCCUAAGUCUUUACUUAGCAGAUAAUGAAGGAAAUUAUGUUCCAUUCAACUGUAAUUGCAACUUCAUAGGCUUUGCUUUCCAUCAACUCGUAUUGGUACCGUCAGGCUUUGCUUAGCAAACAAUGAAGAUUCUCUUCUUGCUUUGUUUUUCCCCUUAAUACUUUAUGGUCUUGUUCUCGGUUGCUUUAUAUAUUAUAUCACUUAAUUAUGGAAACUAAUUAUACAGCAAAAUCAAAAUCAGCAAAAGCUACUCUUUGGGUGAUUUUGGAAUUAACCUUUUUUAGUAAUUAAAAAAUUUAUAAUCAAAACACAAAAAAUAUCACAAAAAUCGAUUAUCUAAAAACAGAAUCUAUAUUCAGUUAAAACAAUCAAUCGAAAACAGAUCCUAUGUUAUCUAAUCAUGGGUGAUUUUCGAAUUAACCAUUUUUAGUAAUUAAAAAAUUUAUAAUCAAAAUACAAAAGUAACUAAAAAUAUCACAAAAACUUAUUACCUAAAAACAGAAUCUAUAAUCAAUUAAAAUAAUCAAUCGAGAAUAGACCCUAUGUCAUCUAAUCUGUUCCAGGUAUCCUGUAUCGAUUUUUAUUGGUGACAAAUUUACAUACUUUGUUCGAAUGACAAUGGAUGGCAGUCGUUGGCAUUUUGGGCCAUUUUAGGUACAUAAUUUCAUUCAUCCGGCCAUGCUAACAAUACAAAGCAGUUUGAGCAACAAAAUCGCUUUUAGUUAAUAUUUCAAAGUCUGGAACUCUACACAUGAUUUUGCUUACUAUUUCAUGAAUCCGAAUUAAUUGAGUAAAUCAUCAAGAUUUUCAACUUUGACGGAAUUGAAAAUUGAAGUCAGUUUGUUGCUUGUACUUUUGAAGGAACAGGAGGGUAUGGAUUUUCCUGAACUUCGAGGGCUUACAUAUAACGAUACACAGAUGGAACUUGGGAAGCUUUGAAUUCUUGAACUAUUCAUUCCUCUACCAACUGAAUCGAUCUAAAAUUCACCACAUUAGAAAAUCAAUCGUCUCUUUUGAUUGGCUAACAAGAUAUUAUAUGCUGGUUUACAAAAGAAAAUGAAUAGGUAAACCGCCUAUAACAAAGGCAAAAUUUAUUACAAAGGGAAACACAAUAACAUUACAAAGAACAGGAAAAACAAAUCUCUUUUCCAGAGUUAUUGCAAAACGCAAGCUAAUAGACUAGUACUGCAUCCAAUUAGUAAAAAAGAACGUGUCAUGCAUUAGAGAGAACCUUUCAGAGCUUUCUUUCCAGUUAGUCAUCCAAUACUACUGGUUCCCAACUUUCCCGAUCCUCAUAUAAACAGGCCAAGUAGCAAUCUUUUCUUGUUUGCCAUCUUCAUUCCAAGCAAGGGUAAAAUCUUUCACCAAAUCUUCACCCAAGAGCUCAACCCCAUUUUCUUUUGCAGCUUGGUAUGCAGACCAUGAUUUUAUCAAAGUAAAAUACCCAUCCAAAUCGAUCAAUUUUUCCAUUUUAAGCUCAAGUGGCCCUGUGUUUUCAAGUCCAUCCACUGGCUCAAAUGGGAAGUCAAUGGUCCUGUAAUUUUCCUCCAUUAUCAACUUGGCCGGUGGCCCCCCAAAUGGAGCAGCACCAACGUAAUACAAUUUAGUUAAAAGGGUGUCAAGAUUUUUGUUGAUCCGUGGCAGAGUAUAGGACCAUGCUGCAAUUACUCCAUUGGGCUUUUUCAGAACGCACUUGACUUGUUGGUAGAAAGAUGGAAGAUCAAACCAAUGAAUAGCCGUAGCAAUGGUCACUAGAUCAACACUUGAUUCUGCUGCAAUACUUUGCUUAAGCUCAGCUAUAGACAUCUUCGGAGAGGUGCAAUGGUAUUUAAUAUUUGGAAGCUUCACAGCAUGUUCCAGUUGCGUUGGGCUUGUAUCUGUGGCUACCACAUUCUUGUAUAUCCUGGCCAACUGAUAAAAAUUCACCAAUAUUAUUCAAAGCCACAUUCACAUGAUUAAAGUUUUGUUCACAAAUUUGGGAAUUAUUACCUUAGAAAUUAGUUUACCAUAUCAGUUCAUAUUUCAUAUGGUUCUAUAAUCCCAUCAGACAAAACCUUCAAAUUGAGCUUUCAAGAAGGUAACCGGGAGGACCACUUUAGGGGAAUUUGUCUACUUCUAAAAUUGAGUUUUCCAGAAUCAUGCCCAUCAACAAUGAGGUAUCUAUUGAAAUUCAACAAAAUUUUUUCCCUAAAACAAUAGGUUGAACUGGUGAAAUGCCGUAAGAAUCUAAAAAAAAAAAAUUAUCAGUGAGUCCAAAUAACAAAAUCUCUAACAUAUGAAAUUUGUUUAAAAACUUGGGAAUCCUUGAAGCCAUGAGGCUAAUUCUCGUACACAAAUUAGAAAUAAGGGGAGGAAAGUGGUCUUACAGAUGUUGCAGCCUGGCCACUUCCUGUCCCAGCAUCCCAGACAAGGUCGUGACAAGGUGUCUUGGAGGCAACAAACUGGAAGAGCUCCUCAGGAUAUAUCGGCCGGCUGGCAGAGUACUCCUUCGCCUGCUUAACAAACCGCUCUGCCAUCUCUGUGGAUCGGUGGUGGGGGGUUAACUUAUAUGCAAAUGCUAGUAUUCUUUUGCUGUCUGAUGAGUGAGAUGAGUUGCAAGCCUCUGUGGCCCUUUUAUAGUGGCAAACGCUAGAUUCGGACUUGCUUAACCGCGUGUUGAUCUUUGAAUUUGAUUGGCCUAACCAAUUGGUUUAUGUUCUUCAGGUGCCAUCGCUAUCCAAAAUAGUCGUACGAAGCAGUUGGAGGUCAAAGGGUACUAAAACGAAGCAAAGUUCGCUUAGGCAACCUUCGAGCUGACUUGACCACCACAGAGGCAAGUGGAACGUCAUGGUUCAAAAUUUUAUCUUUAAUGACUGUUAUUUAAUGUGACUUUUUCUUUUCUUUUUUUUUUUUUUAUAACAAUGUGACUUUUUCUUAGACCUAGCCAAAUAGGAAAUGAAGGUUUCAAAUCUUGCAUCUUGAAAUUGCUACUUAACGUGGCUUUUUUUUUUAAGAUGCAUAAUACAUUAAUUUUAUUCGGUGGUAAUUUAAUCCCUUUCAAGUAUCUGAUAAUUGAUUUAAAAUUUUUCUUUGAACUAUAGGUUGGGGAUUUCAAACCUCAAACAAGUUGGCCACUACAAGGAAUUUAAAAUCCCUCUUUGGAUUAUGAGUCGAGGAGGAUUCAAACCCUGCACUCUACAAUUGAAUAAAUUCAAUGAGUGUGGUAGAGUUGGGAUAGUGUAGAUGUUGCCGGUUGACUAAGAAAAAAAAAAUAGGCAAUUAAAAGUGUAAUAAUUAAUUUUUUGACUGAUAGAAAUAUUUCCAAAAAAAAAAAUUGUCAAACCCACUAAUUUCAUAAUAAAUAGCAGUAACAAUCUAAAUAAAACUAACUGCUAAUGGACCUUAUUGUCAAUUGCGAGCAUUAGUAAGGUUAGACUUGAAUGUUAGGAUGCAAGUUUAGUGGAAGUGGUAAUUAAAAGGUCUCAAGGCACCUGGUAGGUCAAAGUCAUGGCGGCUCUUUGUCUGUAUCCUAAAGUUUUCCGCGUGAACAAGUCACUGCUGUUUCUGUGAUUGCAAAGAACUCUUCACAACCCUUUUUUCUUUUUUUUUUUGGAUAGAAAGAGCGAAACAUUUUAUUAAUAUCAAACUAAAUCUGCUUCAAGAACAGAGAUAAUAAAACAAGGUGGAGAGUCAGUCCACAUACAAUAAUCUGGGAUUGAUAAUGCAUACUUAGCUAAAAGGCGAGCAACCUUACUGUUAUUUCUAAGAGCCCAAGAAAUCUCCCAAGCCAAGAAAUUGUGCAAGCAAAAAAAAUGACGUCUUCAAUAAGAAUACCAGAGUGAGAAUCAUCGGGUUCAAAGUUUUCAGUCAUCUUGAUCACAACUUAUGUUAGGUAUCACAGAUUUAGGAUUUCUGUUAGUACUCAUAGUGAGACCUAUGCAGUUUAAAUGAGGUACAGAGAAAUGGACAAGUGGUUAUUUACAGACAAAACAUUCUUUUACUCUCUUGAUUGCUGCUGUAUUAUAUGCCAAAAUGCUGUCCUUCUUAUGUAUGUAUAAUAAUGCAUCACAACACAUGAUAUCAUAAAAAUGCCAAAAUAAAUAAUCCCACAAAAUUUUCCAAAUAGUCUUUGCUCCGAAUGAACCCAAUAUGGCCUCUACAAUACACAAGGUAAGGUGGCAUUGCCAUGUUUAUAACAUUCUAGCAAAUUAUUAUUUGCUGCAAACCCAGAAACACGAGCCAAACUUGAAUCAGAUUCAAAAGCAAAAGAUUAGUAACACAGUAAACAAGACAGAAUAAAGCCUCACUUAAGAGGAAGAUGUUGAAUUGUCUGCCAAAAACUUCGAACAUGGCGAAUUGGAUAAUCAUGAAGCAUACACAAUUUCAUUGCAGUAAAGAUUUCUUUACUUUCAUACUGUGCAUCUUUCUAAUCAUUUGACAUGAAUUAUCUCCAUUCAAUCACAGCUUCUCCCAUAAUACGAUUAAAAACACCUUUACAGAACAAAACAGCAGUCCUUUCCCUCUAUUUAAAAACAAAUAGAACUUAAUAAGCAAUUACUUUGGGAACAUACACAUAAAAGUCACCCGCUAGAAGCCAGGGCAGACUGCAAGACUUCUUCAAGGUACUUCUCGGCGGCAGCAUAUUGCCUCUUUUUAUCCUCAAUAGCUAAUACAGCCAAUGCUUUAUCCUGUGAAAAAAUAAUCAAAACGUAAGAGGAGAACGCAUAAUUGCAACUAUAUAAAAUCAUUAGAUAAAAAGAUGAGCUUACAGGCGGCAAGUCUUGAUAGCUUCUCAAGGUGUCAAGUAUAGGUUUUGUUUUUCUCUCCAAUUCCUUUCUAUGCUCUGCCAUUUCGGCCAAAACUCCAUGACUUAUCUCUGGACUGUAUCCCACACGAUUGAGCAUCGCCUGCAUUACAAAUGUAAAAUUCUAAGAUAAAAGUACCACCUGCACAAAAUCCUAUGAUUUGGUCAAGUCUCUGGUCUGGUGCUUAGUCGUACUUACAAGGUUACUUUUAUUGGUAGGUGAGAAUAAGAAAUCACUCAAAGAAGGCAAAGAAGAACUAAGAGAAAGCAAAAUUAGCAUAUAUUUUCCAUUUAUAUUAUUUACUGUUGGACAACUAGGAAGGAUGCAACUUCAAAACAGAACCAAAUCCAAAGAUGAUGUUCGUUAUCUCAAUAACACAUGAAACCUCAGAAGGACAUAUACCAAAUUCUCAAAGGCAAAAUUUACAAACAAUGACACAUAUAAUAUGAAACAUUACAGAUAAUAGUUUGACCAAAACACCGUAAACUUGUGUAUCUUUUGGUUCUAACACCUUUGAGUAAGAGCAAGAAACUGGUAUUUCAUACCAGUUAACGAUAAAUUACACUAACACCUAAAAUGUAUCAACUUAUCAGCACUCACUUGCCUAUAGAGUAUGCCUUGACUACAGUUCAUAUCAAUGAGGAAAAAGGAACAGAACAAAGAGUACUAAAAUCAGCAAUAUUUUCCACAUUAAUGCACCUAAAGAAACAUGUCUAAACCUACAGUUCAAGCACAAAUCAUGAAUCAACUGAAUAUAGCCUACCUCAACUAUAUGGUUGCAGGUCACUCAACACUAAAAGCCAAUGCAGUUGAUCUUAUGCUACAGAAGUAAAGUAUUGAGAUGACAUGUGUCAGCUUAGCAUAAACAAAUACCUAAAAGGCCCUAUAAGAUUAAGCAAAAAGAUCUGUUUCUUACACAUCUUAAAAGAAGAUUUAGAUUUUAACAUGAAGAAAAUAUCUUUUUGCUUCCUGAAACUUUCAGUUUAAUUUGCAAGAACUCAUGAAAUUAAAGACUAUGAUACAAUAACUGUUGACAAAAACACGUAGAAAUAUUAUAAAUCAGUUAUGUAGGUUAAAGCAAAACACAAGUAUUCAUUUUGGUUACCAGACAGUUGCAACAUUUAAAUUAGUGUUACCUGAAGCUUCCAAGGCCAAGAAGGCCACCUUUCCAUGAGAGGAUUGUCACCUAAAUAUGUCAUAUGGUUCUUACCAUAUCCUCUCCUAUCAUCAAUAACGGCUUUAUAGUAAAUCCCUGGCCAUCAUUUAUCUCUUGUUCCUUUAGAGUUCUUCACUUGGAAGGAUAACGAAACUACUACAGAAGCUUUAGAUUUAGGCAAAGACUGUCAAAUAAACUAUUUACUUUUACUCAUCUAACAGCUUGAAAAGAAGAUUUAACAAAGAAGACAGAAUCUAAUGCUAACAGCUAACUACUCGUACCAACCCCAAGCUCCAAAUCAAAGCAGCCAAGUAAUAUCAGACAUUAUCUACCAACGUUAGCAGCCAUUACCACAAAACUUGUUGAAAAUCAACAAGACGCCCUCUCUUACUAUGAAAACAGACAGGAUUGGCACUUUAUCCUCAAAAAUUCUGAAAUUCUUAGGUCAACUACACCUGAUGCCAUACCAAAACCUUAACAGAUUCCAUCUCCCACCCAAUAGAAGGCUAUUCAUCUUAUCAUCUCCCAUUUCUUUUCACUGCUCUACCAAACAGCACUGAUUAUUUGCCUCUUUUAAUUGAAUAUGCCAGAGUAAUUUAUAUGCUAAGAGCAAAUCCUUGGAACAUGGAAACAAUUACAUCAUAACCCUAAGAAAUAUCAAGCAAAAGUUUUCCAAGCAGAAAAUCAGAAAUAUCCUGCUCUAUACACAACAAAUUCCAAGAAUUUUGAUCCUGAAAAAACUGUGAAUCUCAUCUAACCCAUAAUCCACAUAACUUCUAUGCACCUUUUUAACCAAUUUACAUUCUGUCCCCCAACGAAGACUACAAACUUAUAAGACCAAUAUAAAGCACACUAAGAAUCAUUUAAAUAUGCUGAUCAAAGAAGGUAACAGUGUUUGGUGCCCUGUAUCCACUCUUACUUUCUGGAAAGAUAUACAACUAUAAUUCAAGCAGCUCCCUGAUUCCCCUUCUACAAAAGGCUAAGAGCGUUUCACCAGAAUUAUUCAAUAUCAUCUCAAAAUGCACCAGUAAGCCCAAAGUUCUGGAUUCCAGCAGGUAUCAAACACUCACCCAUUUUAGCUUCUUGCACAUCAUUUAAGUGAUUUUUGACACCAAAUGACAAGCAUGUAAACUAAGCAAAACACCUAGUAGGGGUGUGCAAGAAGCUAAAAAGGCUGUGAGAAUUUCAUUGCCCCUUAAUUUAUAGCUAAAAUUUCAAAAAUCCCACUGCAUCGACCCUAAACUCGUUUUCCAAUUUCACGUGAUUUAAAAAGUACAGACAAGAUUAGGAAAAGAGGUAUUCGUACAAAAAUAAUUAAAAAGCAAAAUACAUGCUGGCGUUAUUCCGAAUAUAGAGGCUUUGUACACAAAGUAGGAUUAACCAAAAUAUCAGCUGCCAUUCCACAGAGAUAUAGCUCGCCAACCGCCAUUGAAAAUUUUUGUGACAUCCAGCAAAUAGAUACAUUAAUAAAUAAAAAGGAAAUUAGAAAAUGCAGUCUCAUAAGCCAGGUAGAAACCACAUUGGAAAAGCAUCACAUAAUCAUCUCAUCUAUUAACCAUAAAAGAAAACUUAUCUAACAUUUAGAAAUGGUAAAGUUCCCUAAAGAAGAUACUACCUUGCAGUUAGAAAACUGUUUCUCAUACUGGCGCUCUUUCGAGUCCAUAAUAGCCAAAUUUGUUCUGCGACUUUCCAUUUCUGCUUCACAGGGAGCUAUAUCGUCUUCCAGUUGUGCAAGUAUUCUACAAACAAACACAGGAUUAGGAAUGUACAAAUUGACCACAAAGCUCAACAUUGACUAUUGCUCCUAGAGAAAAUCCAAGCAAAGGAACCUAAAUUUUGUCCAGAUGGUGCAUAAGAAGAUAUACCUUUUUAAAUAAGUCAACCUUGAGAUUGCCUUGCGAGUAAAAUCGAGGAGUACUUUUGACUCCUGCUGCACUUUAGACCUCUUCUCUUCUACAGCAGUUUUCCUUAAGGAAAGAUCUGCCAUUGCUACAAGGAAACUAAAAUUUCCCCCACAAGAUAAGCUCAUUGGCACUUAAAAUGGAAUACAUAAUUGAAUUAAAUUGGGAAAAAAAAACUCACCUACUUAAUUCAGUAUCUCUGAUAUUCAGUAAAUUAGCUACACUGGCAAGAACUUGUGCAGAGGACACCACAUUUGAUGGUAAACUCUCUUGAGCCAAACCCACAUGCUCCAAUAUCUCUCGUAUCCUCGCAGCUACAAUCACAGAACAAUAAACAUUAGAGCCAAUAAAAUGAAACAACGUCCCAAAGACUAAUGCAGCCAUUUUCCUUCUAUUUCUGACUGUGAAGGUCAGUAAACAAUACUUCCUAUUACAAGCAUGGCUGCACACAGUUAAACAUCAUCGUUAAAUUAACAACACUGGUUUAUAAUAUGAUAUCUAAAACUACAAGAACACAAAAUUUACUGUAAUUAUAUAUAAACAUGGAAUAGAAAUUUAAGAAAUUAAAUGAAGGCAUAACAAAAGCAUAUGUCGAAGAAUCAAGGACCUUGGGCGCGAUAUUCAGUUGCUUUCUGGCGAAAGUCAUUGGCAACAAUAGAAGCAGCUUGAGUUUUGGCUUGGGAAAUGGUGGCAAUGUUGUGCAAAUGAGCAAUGCUUCUAGGGGUGUACUCAAAUUCAGGGACUUCUUUUCCAACUGCACUGAAUUGGGAUUCAAGCCAUGAUUUCACUUCAGCAAUUCGAUUCGCAUCGAACCCACUACUGCUAUUCUUUGAUGCUUCUGAUGUAACAGAGGGCGAAGGAUCUCCUCCACCAACAAUUUCACUCAUUUCUCUUCUUUUUCCCCUCAGACCUAUAAGAACAAAAUAAAAUUAACAAAUUAGAAAUCAGAGAAAUCAAGAUCGGAAAUUUAUGGGACAAAUAGCUGUUUAAAAGUUAAGAUGCAAAAACCCAUUUUUGGGAUUAGUUAUCUGAAAUGCUUUUUCCCAAAAAAAAAAAAGAAAAAACCAUGUUUUAACUUUUGAAUUACUAUGGAACAACCACAUUAUACGAUCUAACAUAUCAAAAAAAAAAAAAAAGAAGUAAGUACUAAUGCUGUUGAAUUCCUUAAGCAGGGACUUUGAGUCAGUAACAAAUGACUAAUCAAAGAAAAAAAAUUCAUGAGAAGAGGCCAACUAUGGGGAAAUGAGGUGGACUUGGAAGGUUACUUUUGAGGUUUUCUCAAAUGGGUCCGGGAAAUUUUGAGUAAAAAUGAAGUUUUUAAGAUGAAAUUUGGGUUCUUAAUCAUAUGAACCCCAAAUAUACAUAAAGUUACUGACCAAAAGAAAAUCUGCACACAUUUGCAGAGACAGAGAGAGGGAGAGAGCGAGAGGGAGAGGGAGCGACUUGAUGAAGAAGUCUAUUGAGUGGAUUUGAAGUGAGAAAUGCCGGCUUCAGAGAUUAUUUUAAACGGCUUUUCACAGAGCACAACCUUUGCUUUUGAGAAAAUUGCUGAAAUAGUCUCUGAUUUUUUUGAAAAAUCAGACUUUGGUCUUGAAUCCAUAAAACGUAUUUUAUCACGAAUUUUGUUUCUUUUUUUUAGGUAUUAUCUUCAAAUUUUAUGCCAAGCUAUUUUCAUAACAGUGGAAGAGAGUUGUACGCUUGUCCUAUCUAUAAUUUGAAGAAUUUUUCAAAAUAUUUGUAUUUUACGUUCCGAACAAGUUAUUUUUAUAGUCAGUUACAUUUAUAUUAUUAUAUGGUGUUUGUUAAGAUAGACUAAUACAAAAUUACUUUUAUUAUUACAAUUUAGGGCGAUAAUUAAACUUUUUAUUUUCUUUUUAAGAACAAAGAGUGAUUGCUAGCUUUCAAAUCAAGAAAUUUAACUCUUUUAUCCUUCUUUUUUUUUUAGCUAAGACCAUAGACCAAUGAGCUUUAAUUCUUAAUCACAAGUUAGUCCAACCAAUUGUUAAAAAUCUCUAACAUUAAUCAUCUCCAAGGAUUAGCAAAGCAUUAUUGGUUUGUCCAGUUCAUUAUUGAAGGAUAGAUUUUCCCGUUAACGUCAUUCUUUAAUUUAACAGCUCAAAAGCCUUAGUGAAGCUAGUACUGGUUUGUUCAGUUCUUAUUGUAAAUCUGUAUGAAAAAUGUUGCCAGUUUGUAGUUACAUGUACAACAACAGAUAAGGCCGUUGGACGUGUGGAAACAAAUUAGGCUCAUGGGAGAUACAUUACAGAUUAGGCCGUUGGACUGGUUUGAGGCAGCUCCUAACCAGGCAUAAUUUUGCAGACUUUCAUCUUGGAGCAACAAUCCUCACAUUUCGCCUCUGAACUGUCCUGCAGAAAAAUUGAAAUUGUGUACUGCAUGGCCGUUUUCGCUAAGACUUCUGAUAAAAGAUUUUGAUCACCAUUAACAAGAUCAAAUACUUCGAUACCUUUCAAUCUCAUAAACAAUACAAGGAACUUCCAUAUGAAUCUUCCCAGUCCAAAUAUAACCUAGCAACAACAUGCUCAAAUCAGCCUUUACUAACCAGCUAAUAGUUAACAGAAAGAUAUCGCCAUCCAGUUAAAUCGCCUGAUGGAAGUAAAGGAAUGGAUAUAAAAAAGAAAAAAGCAGCAAAAGCAAAUAGAACAAUCCAUAGUUAAAAGAAAGAGAGAGAGAGAGAGAGGAAUCUGCAAUUAAAACAUUAACAGUACAUAAGAGUUGAUAAACUUUCUGCAGCACUUAGAAGAAUUUACAGGACUAUUACAGUAAUAUUUAGCAGUCUACAGAUAGCAUCUCUACAAACAUUCAGGGCAAGAUUGAGCUCAACAUCUAUGAUCACCAAACACAUCUGUAGGUAACGUGCGUCUCAGUGAUCUCGUUAUUGUAGGUAACCUUCAACACCUGCCCCUUUUCAAGUCCAUAGUAUCGAGCGAUUGCAUCUUUUUGCAACAUCCGCGGGAGCUGAAAAAUGGUUUAGUGGAUAUGUCAGAGAAAUUCCGAUUUAAGAAUGAAAUAACAGCUGCCUCAGAUUUUUUUUUUUUUUGGUUUUUUUGGGGGGGUGGGGGUGGGGGAAGAUGAAGCUGCCUCAGGUGAAAUCUCAGACAAAAACUUCACAUUGGAAGUAUUUUUAACGUUUUCAGAAAGCAUAUACAACUAGUCCGGGAAUCGAAAAUCUUGUCUGAGGAAAGAAGAAAUGAAUAUCAGAUGUUAUGAACCAUAUGCCCUUUGAAAAGAUUGGAAUAUUUCAAUAAGAGUACUUAAUAAAGAAGCAGAUGCUGAUAAAAGAAUAGGCAGAAAACCAAAUAAAGAUCCACAAAAUGAUAAAAAGUGGAGAAUAAUAAACAACUUAGAUGUAUGGAAAGAUACAAACAUUGUCUCCAGAGAAGCUCUCAGAAAAUGUGACUUGGGGAUCAAUAAAUCUUAUCAAUCAAAUAUGUAUGAGCAGAAUCAGCAUUUCUAGGUUGAUGACGAAGUACAUCAUUUAUUCAGAAUGAACAUCAAGAUAAGUCAACCAGAUAAUUUUACAAAUUAGAACCCGGGGGUACAUUAAUACCAAGAAACAUUGGUUUCUCACUAUACCAUCAAAGAACUUGAAAGGUUGCAGCACAUUUCUGAAACUUUAAGAAAAUGUUGCUGCCACAACAUGCUGCAAGAACCAUGUUCUGCACCUAGAGAUGUAAAACUAUAAGAAAACAAAUUCUAUAUCACUUCCAUAAUAACACCAACCUGUUUGUCCUCUAUGUUAUACUUCUCAAGAAGCCUUUGUUUCUCUUCUUCAGUUAGCAGUUGAUGCUUUGGCUUCAAAACGUGCUUGGUGACAUUGACAAGCAAGUCAGUAAUCUGAGGCAUGGCAAGAUAUUAGCCGCAUGACAUGGAUUAUUAGUCAAAAAUCAUAAUACAUAUUCAAAUCAUUGAGUAAAUGAGGCUUCCACUUUGAUCAACGUCUUGCUUUGUCUGGGACUCUUGGGAGAUGAAAGAAGCACAUUUAAGUGUAUCUUGUAUUGUUUUCAAAUAACCAACUUAGCUUUUUGCAAGAACAUCUGGUCAUAGGAGAGUGUCAGUUCUAGAUAUCAAUAUAAGAAAGCAGUGGCCACUGAAAUAUCUCCCUCUUUAUCAUCUUGGAAAGUCAUUCACACCAAAACAAAGUAACAUUCAACUCUAAGAAGUUUUAAAUACUUUUCCCAAUUAUAGCUAUUAACAAUGCUAGAAUAGAGUAUGCAAGACUCGCACAUAUAAAUAAGCUUACCCAACAAGUUCGAUUUUUGACUAUACCUGGUUGGGUCCGUUCAAAUAGAGUUGUUGGCUUCAGAACAAAGAGACAGGUAGAGGAUGAAAACGAAGAACUGACAACAGCCCUAAUAAUUUAAAAGCCCAAUUAUUUUGGAAAAAAAACAUUCAGGAACAAAUACAAGGGUUGCCGAAUUCUUUGAUGCACUUUCUAAAAUCACAAAAAGGGAGUGACAUAUAUUACUCACUGCUCUAUCAGAGGCUUAGAGUUGAAAAAAUGGUUGCAGACGACAAAGAGAGCAUGGAGGAAACUGGAAUUAUAGGCAAGUACCAAAUAGAGUAGCAAGUAAUAAAGACUGGAAGAUGAUUGCAAUGCAAAGUUGUAGUGGCUAUAGCAUGCUGAUUCAUUGGCACAAGCAACUUUCACGAUAUGAAUGCACGGUCUGUUUCUUUUUCUUUUUCCCUCUCCAAGCCUGUAUAUUCCAAUUUUUAUCCACAAAAUCCAAACUCACCUUACACCAAAUGAAUGACAAAAUCAUGUAUAGUCUUAAAACAGCUUUGAACAUGCUUAGAGCUUCCUUGAGUAAUUAGUACAUUCUAACGUAAAAUGGAAAAGUAUCAUAAAUCACAUGGAAAGCAUAAACCUCCAAGUGCUCUAAAUUUUUUUGCUGGAAAGUUCCUUCAUUUCACAGGUUCCUUGAGGAGAGGGUACGCAAGCAUAUUGACAGCAGCAGCUCAAAGGCCAAGCAUUCCCAAAUACCAAUAUAUUCAAACAUAAAUGGUAAAUGCAAACAGUGAAAAGAAGGCAACCAACCUGGAAAAUCUCAACUUUGAAAGGCAAGAGAUCCACAGCUUUCAUAGCCUGGCUGGUUAUGUGAUUUUGCACAAUUAGUAUCAGCCUACUUAGAGUGUCUUUGUUCAUGAUUUGGUUUGCAAUACCACGAAUUACAUUUACUUUCACCACAUUAGGCCCACAGAAAAGGACUAGAAUCUGCAUUCAAGAAUUCAAAGAUCUCAAUAGGUAUCCCAAUUUGAUGAUGGUACAUAAUUUCUAAAUAUAAAAGAAGCAGACAACAUUCGACCAAAUAAUAAUCUUAACUUCAGCAUCUUAAAUCUAUAAAGAAACCAGAGGCAGUGCUGUUUAAGGGCAUAUUCAAGAAUUUGUCCAAGGCAUGUCAAGAAAAGGGGAGUACACUUCUACUUCUCCCAAUCUUGACCUAUCAUCAAAUGCAGAAUAGCCAAAUCAGAAAGAGAUAGACACACACACAUGGAACCACAUUAUCCCUCCUAUUUCAGUUCCUAAGAGGCUUGAAGAUUGAGCAUAUAAAACGUGAAGAGCUAAAGAAACAACAAGAAGAAGCAAAGGAAUUUCGAAUUUAAAACUAGCAAUCAGAUACAUAUCAAAAACUACUUUGUUUUUUAAACUCACAUAAAGAGCAACUGAAAUGAAUAAAAACAAAAGAAAAUGCAUGAAAAAACAUUCCUUAUAAUUACUUCAAUUUCCACUAACCAUUAACCAAGUCGAGAUUUCUAUCACUCGAACAAAAAAUACCAAGAAAGGGCUAUAAUCAAAAGAAAAGAAAGGUGCAAAGUAACUAGGCGGACAUCGUGUGCAAAGUAACUAGGGGGACUUCGCAAUAUGUCCAUGGUACUAUUUGACUCCUGACAAUCAGCCAUUUCAGACCAUGCCACAUUGACAUAGAUGCCAUUGUCUGCUUCAGUCACAUAUCAAAGCAUCAGGACCACAGAUGUUCUUCUCCAGUUCCAGAUAAAUGCUAAUUCUGAAAAUAGUAAGAAUCAGACCUGAUGUUAAAGAACCAGAAGUAGAAAAACUGAGGUAGGCUUUCCUAUGCUGUAGUUAAAGACAGUUCGAAACAUUUAACAUGUCAUUUUCUGAAUGGAACUUCUGUGGGAUGAGUGAACAAAUUUCUGGAACAGAUAAAACACACAGAACUUGCUUAAAAGUGCUGCACUCAUGAUUCUGCAGUGGCUACUUCCAAUUCUUUUUCUUGAAACAUAUUUCAAGUGUGACUUGGGUACGAGGUCACAAGAAAAAUGUGCUGUCUGAAUCGCAGAGAGCUGUUAAUUGAGCAUUUGCAAUCUUGUAAUGCAUCUUUGUUAUCUUCAGGGCAUUCAUAUCUUAAAUCAGUUACUAAAUCUCCAAUCUCUUCAGUGAUUUCAUUGCAACCUUCAUUUAGCAUUUCCAUUCACCCAUCUUGUCAAUCUCAGAAUUCAUAGAGGAAGAACCAAUGAUCUUUUCUGGAAGAUCAUGAGCUGCAGGCUAUGUUUUAACCUCACAAACAUCAAGUGUAUCAACAGUAGGUCUUCAUGGACUCUAUUGCAGAAACCAAUAAGAAGGAUUCUAGAGGUUUAGCUGGUCUAUCAAACUAAGUCAAGACAUCCCCAGCUAUCUGUUUAACUUCUAUCUUUUUCUGUGAGUGCCAACUCCAGUUUUUCCAACUCUCUUCAGCCUGCAUGCAUAGCUUAAUUGCUAUACCGGUAAAUUCAUCACAGGAUUCCAUUUACUGCAUGUCAUUGUUAUUAUUUUAUGACAGCAGGUUUAGGGCUUAAAUUAAUGAGCUUAGAUUCAAUCGAAUCUCAAAUAAACCCUCAAGAUUCCACCUCAAUUAGGUCCUCAAAUUGGAUGGCUAGAUUCAGGGAUAACACUACCAUAAUUCAUUCAGAUGGAGGAGUAUACGCAAAGUUGAAACUGUACAAAUUGGAAAGAAUCAUAAGACCAAGAUUUCAAAGGAAAUAAUAAUAAUAAUUUAAACAGAUAUAUCCAGCAUUCCAGCAAAUGGAAUAUAUCCAAUAUUUCAGACAUUUGAUGGGCCAAAUUUGAAUUCCAUUAGAAAGACGGUGAAGAAAAUUAUAACUUAUCUUGAAGGCACUAAAAUUUCUAUGACAUGUGUGAACCCUUUUAAUUCCAGUAAAAUUUGAAGAAUAUAGUUCUCAAGCACAACUUUGAUGUUCUCAGAUACAUUAAGAAAUCAAAACCUACAUAACCAUUCUAACCUAAGCAGCAUUGGUGAUUCCUCAAGGCUCAGAGAAUUGCUUUUCCUUUCUUGGCAACUGUCUUAAGAGCAUUUCUCAUGUCCAGCCAACCAUCUCUGUAAAAUAUGAGUCCUUUUCAUCUUCUUAUUAUUUUGGCUGUCAGACCUUUCUCGUUAUGAAAGACAUUUAAUGAGACUUGGUAACAUAGGUUUUACAAAAAAAAAAAAAAAAAAAACUGUUAAACUCUAACAAAGCAAUACUUUGAGUACUUCCUUCAAUUUAAAUUGGUAGUGUAGACAGCAUAGAGCAAAACAAUAUCAUGUACAAAAAUCAUGCCAGUAUGGCUGUUCAUGCAAUUCCGAGGUGACUGAAUCGGUCUACAUCAAUAUCUGACAUUGAAAAACUCAGGCGCAAAUAUCUACGAGCAGGGUAACCUUUUCACAAGGAGCAAUAACAGAUUGGUGAAUGUGAUAAAUGAAGAGCUUUAUUCGCCAUGUUGAUUAGAGCCAGAGAAAAUAACAGGAAAAGAAGCACAGUUGAUAGGACAACAAUGAGGGAAAAAAAAAAAAAAGAAACAAUUUUCAUCUAAAGGUGCUAGACUUUAACAAAAACAAAAACCACGCAAGUCUUGAGUUCUAGAUUUUUGAAAUAUAACAGAUCAAGAACUAAUAACUUGUCACAGACAGACUAGGAAUUCAUUAUUGACAUUUCAUCAUGAAUGUUAGCAACCUAACAAUAGGCAAACGUUUCACAACUUGAAAGAUACCAGAACUCAAAAUCUGACCUUGUUAGAAGGGUCAUCCUUGUGAAGAGCAGAGAUUCUCAGGCGAUCAAUGUCAGGCUGUUGGCCGUAGUUAUUACGGAAGUCUUGAAGAGAGAGUCCAAUCUCCGAAUUGGGUACGAGAAAACCACGGUCCCUAAGCAUUUCCAGCACAGUUCGGCGUGACAAGUAGUACCUAUGAGACUCUAUGCUACCCUCAUCGAUAUAGCUACUCAAACACCUCGGGUAACUCUCCCCAUCUACAUCCAUUUCCAUUUUCCCACCGACAUCCAUAGCUUUUCUCACCGGGUUUUCAGCUAGGCAAGUUGUGCUCUUUUUUUCUUCUUCCUGAAUGCAAGAAAGCAUUAACCAUUAAACUCAGGGCAGUUCGACAAGGGCAAUUAUAAUAGGGAUUUCCACCUUAUCCUUAUUUCAAUUGUCAAUGAACCUCUUCGAAUUAACAGCUAAAUAAAGUAAACAUUUAACCAGAUAAAUAAUUACCAUUAGCAGAAGUCACACUAAACCCUCUUAGAUUUUUAUGCCAUUAGACCGUGUAUCAUCAAGAAUUAGAGUAAUUUUGUCGCAGGCACAAAUACCAUAAACAUAUUCAAGCAGAUUACACUCUCUUCCCAAAACUAAACUAAUGCAUUUCCAUACCAAAAACAGAUUAGAAACUAAACAAUCAACCAAUUAAGGGAUUGUAGCAACUAAUAUCUAACUUUCAAGAAACCAAAACAAAAAAAUGCUUUUAUCUUGCUGGAGAUAAAAUGAUACACAAAAAGGCAACACAUUGGAGAGAAAGAAGCAGAACGAAAGAUGUUGGGAGAAGGAGAAAGUGAGGGAGCUUGCCUGUGCCGGUGAUCUCUUGCAGUAAUGAGAAUUGAGCGUAGGGUUUAAGCCCUUGGCCUUAAAAGUUAAAACCAGAGACCGUGGUCGGAAAAUGGACAAAAGGUUAAAAAAAAAAAAAAAAAAAGAAUUUACCUAGCAUUUUGAGACUGUCACUAGGUACUACCGUACUAGCAUUAUAUACAUUGUGAUUUUGAUUUUUUUUUUUUUACUACUCUUACUAGCAUCGCAAUACUAGUUUGUUUGGAAUGAUUUGGAAAAAAAAUUCAAGUUUUGUUUUGUUUGUAAAAAUAAUACUGUAGUAUUUUUAUUGAUAAGGUGGGUGUGUGAUUAAAAAAAUUGAUUGAAAAGAUAAAAUGAUGAUUAAAAAUAUAUUUAUAAUACAGUAAUAAAAUUUUUUUAAUGAUAUUAACUAUGAAAGUGAAACAACAUGUUAUAACGAUGUGUUUAUAUAAUAAAAGACAUAUAUAAAUAUAAAAAAUAUUUCUAUAAAAUCUAAAAAUUAUCUGUGCCUAAACAUUUAGGAUAAGUGAGAUAAUAUUUCUUUUUUUCUUUUUGCAAAAGGAUGGAAUAAGGUUAAGUAUAGAGCUAGUGAGAUAAUAUUUCUUUUUUUUUUUGGGCAAAAGGAUGGAAUAAGGUUAAGUAUAGAGCUAUCAAUAGGGUUAGAUCAACAACAAUCAACUUGAAAUAAUUAAAAUCAAGCCUUACACUUCAUUAGGUUUGGUUGAGUUUAAACUUCAAAAUGAGCCCCAAUUAAAUUAAAUUGUGAGUUGACUUUAUACUUAAUGAGGCUCGAUUCGAUUAAAUGUCAACCCAACCAAUUAAGUACAUAAGUACUUAUUUUUUUAAUUCACUGUGAUGUAUAUUAUUUAAUAAUUAUACAUUAUAAUGUACAUAAUUUAUAUAAUAUAUAUAUAUUGAUUAAACAAAAUAAAUAUUAUGUAUACGCCAUGUAUAAAAUUAUAGAUUAGUUGUGAGCUUGUAUCGGACCCAAAUUAGGCCUGAAACUCUUGUAUUUUGAUGAACCAUGUAUGAGUUUCACACAACAAACUUGAAGCCCAAGUUCAAAAGCCCGAAAAUUAUAUUUUGGUCUGUGAGUUGAGUUUUAACUUUUCAAAAUCCGACUCAUAAGACUCGAUUGACACCUCUAAUUAGGUACGAUAGAGUUGAUUAUUUAAAAUUGUCUUUGCACCUUAUUUUUUUUAUCCUUUUUAGAAUAUGGCUAUAAUAUAACCUUUUAAAGAACAUUUAACGAAUUUUACCCUCAACUUUUACUUGGCCCCCUCCAAUUAUUUUUCCAGCGCAUACCCCACUUUUCAUUGAGGGACAAAUGUGUACCGAUUCAUUUUGUUAUUAUUAUUAUUUUUACAUACAUGUGCUUGGCUUUUGUUGACACAGAAAAAGUUGAUCACAAAAUAUAAUUUAGGCUUGUUGACAAAAAAAAAAAAAAAUGUCAGCAUAAGUAGCAAAUAAAUAUGAUACUAAUAAAGAUGCCUCCAUUCAAAUCCAACAACAAACAGACUUCAUUUUAAUUAAUUACAAUCAAAAUCUUGCAUAAAAAAAAAAGAGUCUUAUGUCAACAUUGUCCUUUUGUUGCUGAAAUGAUUAAUAAUUUACUAUUAUUGCCAUGUUUCUCCAAAAAAAGAAAUUUUGAAGUUUGAUUUAAUCCCUAUUUUCGUCCUCUAAAUUCAAAAAUAAGCCAUAUCAGCCCUUAUUAACAAUUUUGGUCAAGUAUAGCAUCAUGCAUAACCAUUUUCAAGCCAUAUAACCAAUUCUGAAAUCAGUCACCUUGCAAACAUGUAGAAAUGAACAUUUGAGAAAUUGCCACCAGUUGGGAAUGGGAAUUAUUUUUACUUCUCUGUAACAUAUACAGAAAAACUGGUUCAGGAAUGGUGGAGUGGUAAAGCAUGGAUUCUAAUCCCAUCAACAGAAGUAACCACUACAAUCAAAGGCCAGACAUCUGACCUUCUCCAUAUUGAUGGAGUAUUUAUCUGCAACAAGAAAUAGAAGAACAGACAAUCAAUGAUCAAAAAAAGUGGUAAAAAGAACUUCAUAUUUGACUUCCACACUGUUGCCCUAUAACCUGGACUGGGAUUUCUUGCAUGAUCUUCCUGUUAACUUGGAGCGCCUUGGCGACAAUGUCGCCAUCGAUACAUAGAUUUGAUCCGAAGACAGCAUCUCCAAUGGUUAUGAGACCUUGACUUCAAUGGCAAUUGCAUGAACUUUCCUACAUUAUGUUGGAAAUGAACAAGCGCAAGUGGAAAAACACAUUAAGAUGUGUAGCUCUGUGUUAAAAAAGCAUGUAACUAAUAAAUUUCAAAGACAUUUAGCUGUGGAAAGAGGCCCAAAACAUUGAGCUACAUAAGGCAUUUUGCACACUGCAGAUACCACUGAAUAGAUAUAUACAGAAUACAAGAGACAUUCAUAUUGACAGACGAGAGCAAACACAUAAUUAUGUAACUAAUCCCCUAGUGAUUUCACAAGCAGAUUUACAUUCAAGAUCUGCUCCUUUUGGAGUUGAUAAUCUCGAGCCAUUGCAUUGUUGUGUAGAUAUUUAUUAGUUGGAAAAAAAGUUUCAGGUGAGAUGUCUGACCGGUAAAUUGAGGUCCCUAUUCCUAAAACUCCCAAAGUCUAUCUUUGAAUCACAAACUUCAAGAUGACUCAAGGCAUGCAUAUACAACUAACUAGCUUCAAAGAAAAGGGGCAUCAUAAUAUCAGGUCAGGUCAGGAGGUUGCAGAUAGAAGCCAAGAUAUUCAGAAUUACAAUUUUCAUGGUGUUGAAGGUUAGCGGAAAUUUGCUGUGAAUCAUUUAAUAUUGCUUGAAGAAAGAUUACAGGGGCCAUACCAACCAGAGGCUUUUGAAGAAUGUACUUUUGGCGAUGAAUGAUAUUAUGUAAAUCAAGUUGAAGAUCAGAAUCAGCUCCUUUAAAAUAAGUGAUGUUGUUUCAUUUAAUGUAGAAUGAGACUUAAAGAAAGUUCAGUGGAGAAGCUUUUAGGGACCAAACUCCUAAUACAUAGUUAUAAGAAACUAGUUUUUCAUACCAAGAGAGGGGCUAGGUUUUUCUUACCUCACCAUGAAAGAAGAAUAGGGUAAUAUGAAGUUUCGACAUAUCUAACAAUUGUCAUAGGUUUUUCAGCCAAAGUAUCUGUAAGACACAUAAAAGAGAUAGAGAUUUGUUUAUCAUAACACCAAUGAGUUGCUCCUUUAUGUUGGAAUUCUUAAGAAGCCUAUGUUUGACUCGGUCACUUAAUUAAGCCAGCACUUCAUGGCUUCAAGAAGCAAGUCAAUAAUCUAAAGACGCGUCAAAUAUUAAGACAUUGCAUUGAUAAGUCAAAGAAGCAUGCCAAAUGAUUACAAAUAAUGCACCAAUUGGAUCACUUGAUAUGUUUAGAAACAAGCUAUAGAAAAUUUAAAGCACAGAAAGGUAGAUUAUUAAAUGAGUGGGACCAAAUCAGACAUUUUAUGUGAUAGACACAGUAAAAGUUCUUUUUAUUGAAAAUUCAUUACUUUGAACCAAAUCAAAACCUAAAUGCAGACUGUUAAGAGAAUAUAAGUAUUCUUGUAGAUAAUAAAUUAGUAAGGGUAUUCUUAUAAAUAGUUUGUUAGGUUUAUACUCCUAUAAAUACUAGUUGGUCACUCAUAAUACAGUGACUAGAUGUUUUCUUCCCAAGAUACCUGUUAACAUGGUAUCAGAGCAAAAGUCCUAGGGUUAGGGUUAAAUAUCUAGCAAAAGUUUUGACGCGAUACUGUUCAUCGUACACUGUUCACGCGGUACUGUUCAUCGCGCACUGUUCAUCGCGCACUGUUCACGCGGUACUAUUCACGCGCACUGUUCACGACGCACUGUUCAUCGCGAAUUUUGAUUGCUGUUUUGUUUGAAGUACUAUUCGCUAUGGUUGAAAGUUUUGCUAAUGGGGUUACCACUGAUCAAGUUGAAUCAAGUUCUUCAGCACAUGGGUCCCAGAAAACUGUUACUAUAUCCGAGGAAGAUUAUGUUAAAUUCUUACAGUACCAAAUUACAAAUCACGCAUCUCUUCCCUCUGCUUCUUUAGCACAAAAAGGUAAUGACUCAUGGAUUAUUGAUUCCGGAGCUACUAAUCAUAUGUCAGGUACCUCUAAAAUUUUUUCUAAUUUUCAAGAGUCUACUCCCUUUUCUAAUGUUACUUUAGCUGAUGGAUCUACCACUAAAGUUAAAGGACUAGACACUGUAGAAAUUAAUCCAUCACUUCCGCUGUCUUCUGUUCUUUACGUAUCCAAUUUGUCAUUUAAUCUAAUGUCUGUUAGUAAGCUCACUAAAUUUCUACAGUGUACAGUUACUUUUUCUCUUGAUUCUGUUGUCAUUCAGGAUUUGAAAACAAAGAGAACGAUUGGUGGAGGGCAUGAGCAUAAUGGUCUUUAUUUUCUCAAUUUCAAUGGUCCGAUAGCAUGUCCUGCUACUGUUUCUCCUCUUGAAAUUCACUGUCGUUUAGGUCAUCCGUCUUUACAAAAUUUGAAAAAGUUGGUUCCUACUUUGAAUCAAUUAUCUUCGUUAGAAUGUAAGUCUUGUCAGUUAGGAAAGCAUCAUCGUGUUUCUUUUGCUCCUAGAGUCAAUAAACGGGUUUCUGAACCCUUUUUGUUAGUUCAUUCUGAUGUUUGGGAUUCUAGUCGAGUCACUUCAAAGUUAGGUUUUAAAUAUUUUGUAGUUUUUGUUGAUGAUUUUUUCAGAGUUACAUGGCUUUAUUUAAUGAAAGAUCGUUCAGAAUUAUAUUCUAUUUUUUGUGCAUUUGUUACAGAAAUAAAGAAUCAAUUUGGUGUGCCUGUACGUAUACUUCGCAAUGAUAAUGCGAAAGAGUAUUUUUUCACUCCUUUUAAUACCUUUAUGACUAAGUCUGGUAUUAUUCAUCGGUCCUCUUAUCCUCACACUCCACAACAGAAUGGAGUUGCUGAAAGAAAAAUUGGACAUUUAAUCGAAAUUGCUCGAGCACUGUUGUUGCACAUGAAUGUACCCAAACAAUUUUGGAGUGAUGCAGUUCUAACUGCAUGUUAUUUAAUUAAUCGCAUGCCAUCUAAUAUUCUUGGAGGUCAAUUACCUCACUCCAUUUUUUUUCCUCAUGAACCUGUGUUUAAAUUGCCUCCUCAUAUUUUUGGAUGUGUGUGUUCAUCAGCUUGCUCCCGGGGUGGAUAAAUUAGAUUCUCGUGCUAUUAAGUGUAUUUUCUUAGGUUAUGCACGAGCGCAAAAAGGGUAUAGAUGUUACAAUCCAGUUUUAAAUCGAUUUUUUACUUGUGCUGAUGUUACUUUCUUUGAAUCCACUCCGUAUUUUAUCAAACAAAGUAUGUCUUGUGAAUUAGACCAGUGUCCCUCUUUUUUCUCUCCUGUUUUACCAGUCCCUUCCCCUUUAUUACUUGAGUUGUCUAGUCCACUAGAUUCCAUAGCUCGAUUAUCUCGUCCUCAUUUUCAAGUUUACUCUCGUCGUUCCAUGGUUGAGAAAGUUCCUGAUAUGCCACGCACUUCACCAAUUAACUCUCAAUCUUCAAAUUCAUGUAUGACGCCCUCCUCUGAGUUAGAUCUUCCUAUUGCUUUACGCAAAGGUAAGAGACAUUGUACUUCCCAUCCUAUUUCUAAUUUUAUUUCUUAUUCUCGUCUCUCUAUGUCAUAUUCUUCUUUUGUUGCUUCUCUUGAUUCUAUCUCCAUUCCUAAGUCUAUUACAUAUGCUCUUAAUCAUCCUGAUUGGAGAUUAGCUAUGCAAGAAGAGAUGUCUGCUUUGGAACAAAAUGGUACUUGGGAUCUUGUCCCUCGUCCUUCAGGUAAGCCUGUUGUUGGUUGUAAAUGGGUGUACACUAUAAAAGUGCAGCCUAAUAGUUCUAUUGAUAGAUUGAAGGCUCGGCUGGUAGCUAGAGGAUUUACUCAGGUGUAUGGAGUAGACUACUUAGAAACAUUUUCUCCUGUUGCAAAGAUUACCUCUGUUCGUCUUCUUAUCUCUUUGGUAGCAACUUAUAAUUGGCCAUUGCAUCAGUUAGAUGUGAAAAAUGCAUUUCUGCAUGGAGAUUUGGAAGAAGAGGUAUAUAUGGAACAACCUCCUGGAUUUGUUGUUCAGGGGGAGAAUCCGCGGUUGGUUUGUCGUUUGAAAAAAUCCUUAUAUGGAUUGAAACAGUCUCCGAGGGCUUGGUUUGGCCGGUUUAGUAGUGUUGUCAUGGAGUUCGGUCUGACAAGAUGUGGAGUAGAUCACUCUGUAUUUUAUCGACAUUCUAAUGCUGGUAAAAUUUUAUUAGUUGUUUAUGUGGAUGACAUUGUGAUUACAGGUGAUGAUGUUGUGGGGAUCCAGAAACUUAAAUCCAAUCUGCAGGCAAACUUUCAGACAAAGGAUUUAGGUCAUCUACAGUAUUUUUUGGGUAUUGAGGUAGUUCGGUCUAAAUAUGGAUUUAUUUAUGUCAAAGAAAAUAUGUACUCGAUAUGUUGAGUGAGGUUGGGAUGUUAGGUUGCCGACCUGUGGAUACUCCUAUGAAUUCCAAUGUGAAAUUAGCAGGAGAUCAAAGUGCAUUAUUUGAUGAUCCUAAGCAAUAUUGAAAAUUUGUGGGUAAAUUAAAUUAUCUCACUGUAACGAGACCUGACAUUUCGUUUGCAGUGAGUGUUGUGAGUCAAUUUCUUGAUACCCCUCGUACUAGUCAUUAGGAUGUUGUUAUACAGAUUCUCAGGUAUCUUAAGAGUGCUCCUGAAAAAGGGUUGCUGUAUCAAAAUCAUGGACACACUGAUAUUGAAGGAUGUAGUGAUGCAGAUUGGGCUGGUUCUGCUUCAGAUCGAAGAUCGACUACAGGAUAUUGUGUGUUUGUUGGUAGUAAUUUAGUGUCGUGGAAGAGUAAGAAGCAAACAGUUGUAUCCAGAUCAAGUGCAGAAUCUGAAUACCGCGCUAUGGCUCACACUGUGUGUGAGUUGGUUUGGUUGAAAAGCAUGUUACUGGAACUUGGGUUUGAGCAUAAACAGCCUAUGAAUUUAGUGUGUCAUAAUCAGGCGGCUGUUCAUAUUGCGUCUAAUCCAGUGUUUCAUCAAAGGACAAAACAUAUUGAAGUUGAUUGUCAUUUCAUUCGAGAGAAAUUACUUGACGGGAUCAUCAAGACAUCUCAUGUACCGUCUGUAGAUCAAUUGGCUGAUGUGUUUACCAAGAGUUUAGGGGGCUCUAGGGUGAAAUACAUUUGUAACAAGUUGGGUGCUUAUGAUAUAUAUGCUCCAACUUGAGGGGGAGUGUUAAGAGAAUAUAAGUAUUCUUGUAGAUAAUAAAUUAGUAAGGGUAUUCUUGUAAAUAAUUUGUUAGGUUUGUACUCCUAUAAAUACUAGUUGGUCACUCAUAAUACAGUGACUAGAUGUUUUCCUCCCAAAAUACCUGUUAACACAGACGUUUUACUGCUUAUUUGUUGACUAAUUUAAAAAGUUGCUGAUUUACUAACCAAAAGAGAAUAUGCAAAGAUUUUUCUAAGAGCUAUUUAUCAAUAAAAAUACAGAGUUCUUAAUGAUAAACUGCAACAGAGAUGUGGACAUUUCUCUAAACGACUGUUUAUAACCAAAAAGGCAAGCCUGCCUGACAAGUAAAUUUUUCUGUAGCUAAGAAUAUAGCGAAGCAUUUUCACCUGGAAUGCACUGCAUCUUCAUCACUCAAGCCUCCUCCUUUUACACCUUCCCAAGGCACCAUGAUAUAAUCAUUGUGCUGCCCCAAUAACAGUUGGCCAUUUUUCUCCUCAAAGCCAAGCUACCAGGGUGCCAUCUCGACUCCAAAACAAACUUCUUGCCCCAAAAUCCCCAGCUUAACCAUCAUCCUGCAACUUCCACCUUUUAAAGGUAAACCAGCCAACGCAAACAUAAGAUUCAACAACUCUAGUUGGCCACCCCUGCCUUGCUCCUUGACAAAAUACAGAACAGCACAAGCUCCGCCUAUGCAUAUUGCCAACCACAUCUUCUCCCAAUCUGAGUACACAGCUAAACCCCAUGCAACUGAUAAUGUCUCCUCCAAUGCAAUCUAACAACCAGCACCAUGCCAAUAUCCCAUCCCUAUAUCUUAGCAUAAGCAUGGUAUUGCAACUUAAAUGAAUUUCUUUGUGAAUACAUGGUGUUGCAAUAUGAAUGAGUGUAAAGCAACUGUUAUGUGUGCACUUAUGUUUCUUCUAUUGCUUUAUGACAUUUUACUUGUAAGAUGGGCUGCAUCAGCUUUCAAUAGAAAAGGAUUUAUGUGAGACAAAAAAAAUCCAAGAGGAAGGAAACCCAGGUCUAAGAUGUCCAGAGCAGUUACUAUAACUACGCAAUACCAUACCUAAAGAACCAACGUUGGAAGUUCCAGAUUACCAGCUGUUCAAGCUCGUGCAUGAACAAUAAAUCUAGUGGUGAGACAACCCUAUACUGCCUUGGAGAAGCUGACUGUUGGUUUUGCUUGAUUUUCCCGAGUGUAUAAGACAAUAAAUUCGCUAUCCAGUGGUUACUGAUUAGGGGCAUCUUUGGAAGAAUGAUCAAUUGUUAUCUUAUCUAGGCUAUCUUUUCAGUCUGGAAAAUCAUAAAAAUGACUGAUAACACCAGAUUGAAAAAUGGAGGAAAUGAUUCACUUGAAAGACCAGAGGGUAAUGUGAGCAUGGAACACAGUUGAAGGGGGGACUUUUAGGAAGUUACCCCUUCUGUUUGUAUGCGCUUUUGAUCUGUCAAAUUUCAUGAUAAGGUGGCUAAUGCACCAAUUUUUUUACCAACUUAAAGGUUUUUGGCCUUUUAAUUUGUUUAAUUUACGUCCAGUUCGUAUAUAUAUAUAUAUAUGGCAUCAAUAAAAUGCAUUUUACAAUAUGGUGAGGAACAAUUAGAAAAAAAAAAAAAAAAAAGCUAGAGAAAAAAGGAAAUUUAGAGCAGAUCUCAAACAGAGUAGCCAUGGACAAAGACCGGAGUCUUGCAAAGAAGAGUUGCAGUGGCUACACUCAGUGCAGCCAGAUGAACGUGUUGGUGAGAUUUUGGGUUUCAUAAUGAUGUUAGUGAGGUGUUAUACAAUGCAUAUUCAGCCAUGUUUUUUUUAUAAGAAGUCAUAUAUUCCAAAAGCUUUGGGAGCUAAAAGGGAAAAAUACGAUAAAUCUAACAGACAUGACACUUAAUUGAAGUAAAAUUUACAAAAAUUUCUUGGUUGUACAUGAGCAAUGAGUAAUGAAAAGCAAAGAUGCGUAUAGGAGUAACUUGGAGGCCAAUAUUGACUCAAAACAUUCAUAGAUUGAAAAACGUAAACAGGAAAAGGUAAGAGAACUAACCUGGAAAUCUCAACUUCCAAAGGUAAAAAUUCACAGCUCAUUUCAUUUCAGCCAACUCAAAAGAUUUCAAGUAUCAGGGAUGCAAUCAUACCAAGGACCUUUAGCUUUUACCACAUUAGGGCAAAGGAAAAGGACAACGAUCUGAAUGCAAGCUUUCAAAGAACUAAUUUAAUUUCAUUAUUGAUGACAAAUAAACAAUUUUUCACAUAAUAGCUGAUGUCAGGAGAAGUGAGGAAGAGUAAGCUAAAUAAAAAACAAUCAACGAAGUUUACGAACAUAUUAAAGAAUUUCUAAAAAUUGGAAUGCCUCAUAGAUUAUGAAAAUAUUCAAGAAUUACUAUGCAUGUCAAACAAGGAUUAAGUACCUAAAAAAAGGCAUCAAGAGGCAAAUGAUACAGAAAAAAGACAGGCCAAGAACAAAAUUUGGCAACCAACAUCUGUAAAAAGUGCUUGAAGCAAACCAGCCAACAUAUGUGAGAAGGCCUUCACUAUAAGUUGGUAAGUUUGACACCAUGCAACAGACAACAAAGAAAAAUUUUACUCAUUGUCUACCUAAUCAUGACACAAGGAUGAAGGAAUAAAGAAUGGGGCAGCACCAACAGCAGCCUGCUUUGCUCAUUAAGCUUUUGAUGAAAGCACAGUCACUGGUCAAAUUUUGAGAAAAGGGGAAUAAGAUUCAUGUAAAUGCUGUAUGCCAUGCCCAAGUGUAGGUAUAGCCUAGCUUGUUUAAACUCCUCACAGAACAGAAAAGUUGAAACUUGAGAAGUAAAGCAUAUAUGCAACAGGAUAGAAUGUAGAACAGACAGACAGUAAUGACAACAUUCUGCAUCAGUGGUAAUUGAUUUGCGUUAUGUUCCAUGCACAAUUUGACAUUCAUUGACCCAAAAGGAUAUUAGACUUACAAAUAUGUGAAACCUGUAAAAGAUGUUGAACAAAAGCACGUCUUUGGUAAAGAGAAUAAAGCCAAAAAAGAAAUGCAAGGAGUUUACCUUCUUGCGCAAGGUAUUCAACUCUAUGUGUGUGGAAAAUGAAUCUAACCAUUUACAGGCUCUUAACAAUGGCCAAUUAGAAGAAAAAAUCAAAAUCUUAAACUACACCAUAGUCCAAUUAUUCCUCAAAAGAUUUCCAGGCAAACCUCUGAGAACCGAGAAACUUUGCCUUCAGAAACUCACGCAUUCUUGCUUCUGCCAGUGCUGUCAGCUUGGUAAAUCUUUCAACCAGUAGAUGUUUUAAUAUAUACUCAACAAAUUUAUUACUGCAGAUCAAAAUUGUAAGCAAUCUGUACCAAGAUUUGUGCAUCCCUUGGUGAGAAUGAGGAUGAAAUUUGACCUUUCAAAUUGCAUUGUGGUAUUCUGAUGUUUGUUAUGACUUGGAGGAUAUAGGAGUUAAAGUGACUCAUAUCCUGUGAAAUUCAUUUAACAGCUCAGUCUAAACCAAAUGUCAUUUGAAAUUGCAGCAUGAUACCAAUGCUCAUUUGCUUGCUAAUUUCUCCAACUAAACUCAUUCCGCAUGUCAGAGAACAUUUUCAAGCAACAUUAACCUUCUCAAUAAACCAAAAAAGAGAGAAAAGAGAAGCGAACAAGGUUGUGUCUUUAUUUAAUAAAUAACACAGUUCACAGAGGCAAUGAACAAGAAUACGCAACAGCUAAACAAUAUAGACAGCUAAAAAAGAACAAUUCUAGAACAAAUCCUCCAAUGACAGAUAUACAUACAAUUCAUUAGCAGGACAAUUGUCUAAAUGACCUCAUAACAAACAGGCAACAUCGGCCAUAUGUAGCAUUCAGGGACAGCAGCUGGGGCACCUAACCAACCCGUUCUCAUUACAAUCAAAACACCUUCUCAAUUUUCCUUCCUCCUCUUCAAAGAU